This 52036-nucleotide long non-coding RNA is filed under the name Setaria italica (foxtail millet). RNAcentral's name for it is "long non-coding RNA (SITA_LNC000234)". The stretch from base 43934 to 44044 matches the Rfam family "Small nucleolar RNA Z247". Lineage: Eukaryota; Viridiplantae; Streptophyta; Magnoliopsida; Poales; Poaceae. The record is from RNAcentral.
AGUUAUGAGGUUCCAAAGUUUGUUAGAACGCCGGUCAUCCAGACUUAGGCAGAUUUUCCAAGUUUGCUGAUUUUCAGGGUUUUGGCUGUCUUUUAUCCGAUUUUUGAAUGUUUUCCUGAUUGAAUUAGGACAAGGUGUUAUUGAUAAAGUUGUUUUAUAGACUGAUUACUAAUACUCUUAUAAAGGGUUUUUCUUAAGUUUAGUGUAAGUUUUGUGAGUAAAAAUCUUGCCAAAACACAAACUUUGAACUGCUCUCAGACUUAGCACAUUUUUGGUGUUCUGGCUGGGUUGACCAUUUUUGUCAACUUUGACCUAACUUUUGAAGGGUUUUUGUGCAGAUUUUGGCCAAACUCCAGUAAUCAAAAUUGUUAAAGACUUGUAGCACUAAAACUUUUAUAUAAGGUUGGACUUGAGCUCAAAUUAGAAAAUUUGCGAAAAAGGGCUGCAAAGUUGGGAAAUUUCACUGGUUUCAGCACUUAGUGUUUGUGAAGUGAGUUUCAAAAGUUACUGAUUUUAAUUCUAGUUUUUGAAUCUCUUUCACUCAAAACUAGCAAAAGUGAUAAUAAGGAAAGUUGUUAGAAAUGUAAAACUCUGCAACUUUUAGUUUGGCAAAACUUUAAGUUUCUGUACAAAAUUUCAUGUUUUGAAAUAACUCCAAACUUAAGCUCUUAAGGGCAAAAAGGACUUUUCACGAGCUAGAUUAGUGUCUAAGCUUCCCAUUUCAGCUUAAGCAAGUUUAGCUUAAGUAGAGUUGUUACAACCUACCCCCCUUAAGGGAAUCUCACCCCGAGAUUCAAGUGAAGAAAGGAACUAGUGUGGCUUGUGCAACGUAUUCCUCUGUUUCCCAUGUUGCUUCAUCUUUCGUAUGAUUACUUCACUGAAUUUUGAACAUUCUCACCAUUUGUCUUCGAGUGUGUCUUUCCUUCUAGUCGAGGAUUUUAACAGGAUACUCUAUAUCAGAUAAAUCAGGUUCGAUUUCCAAUUCCUCAUGUGCAAGAAUUUCUGUCAGAAUUUGAACACACUUUUGAGUUGCGAGACAUGGAAAAUGUCGUGUAUCACUGCAAGCUUCUUCAGGAGUUUAACCUGAUACGCUACAGGUCCACAAAUUUUCACAACCUCAUAUGGACCAAUAUAGCGUGGAGCCAACUUUCCUUUUACUCCGAAGUGUCGUACGCCCUUAGUCGGGGAUACUCGGAGGUAUACAUAAUCGUCAACUUCAAACUGUAUAGGCCUCCACCUCUUAUCGGAAUAGCUCUUUUGUCAGGACUGGACAGCCUUAAGGUUUUCUUAGAUAACUCUCACCUUUUCUUCUGCCUCUAUUACCAAGUUUGGUCCAUCACACGGUCCUUUCUCCUGCCUGGGACCAACUUAACGGAGUUCGACACCUACGACCGUACAAGACUUCAAAAGGUGCCAUCUUUAAGCUAGCUUGGUAGCUAUUAUUGUAUGAAAACUCUGCCAAGGGCAAACAUUUAUCCCAGCUCUUGUCGUAGUGGAUGACACAAGCGUGUAGCAUAUCUUCAAAUAUCUGGUUGACCCUUUCAGUUUGUCUAUCUGUCUGGGGGUGAUAUGUGGAGCUAUGAAUCAUCUUAGUGCCAAGCGAAGACUGUAAUUGUUCCCAAAAGCGUGCUACAAACUGACUACCUCGAUCCGAGAUGAUCGUUUUCGGCACACCAUGUAGGGAAACAAUCCGAUCAAGAUACAACUCUGCAUAUUUCUAUAUGGUGUGAGUAGUGUGCACAGGAAGAAAAUGCGCUGUCUUAGUAAGUCUGUCCACUAUAACCCAUAUGGAAUCAUGCUUGCGAGAGGUAUUAAGCAAUCCGACUAUCAUGUCCAUGCUUAUAUCCUCCCACUUCCACGAGGGAAUAGGCAGCGGCUGCAAAGUGCUAGCUACCUUUAAGUGGCUUGCUUUAACUCGUUGACAGGUGUCACAUUCUGAGACAUAACGUGCAAUAUCUGGUUUCAUCCCACUCCACCAGAAAUUUUGUUGGAGAUCAUGGUACAUCUUGGUACUACCAGGGUGAAUUGAAAACUUGGAAAGGUGUGCUUCAUCCAUAAUCUGUUUUCGAGGAUCGGUAGCAUUCGGUAUGACCAAUCUAUCAUGGUACCAUACAACUCCUUGCCAAUCUUGGCGGAAAUAUUUAUAGCCCUCAUCCUUUUGUGCUAGCUUUUUCUUGAUGAGCUUAACUUCCUUAUCCAUUAACUGGGCCAUAACUAUUUGAUCAUGCAAUGUGGGUUCAACGGAUAUAUGACUCAAUGUGCCAUGGGAAACAAUUUCGAAGUUGAGUUUUCCAAUCUCAUAACAUAACGUCUCGGCGAAGUUGGUUGCCGACAAGCAGUUACAAUGGGCCUUGCGGCUGAGAGCAUCCGCAACUACAUUGGCUUUGCCGGGGUGAUAAUGCACUUCUAAAUCAUAGUCCUUGAUCAAUUCCAACCAUAUUCUUUGACGCAUAUUAAGAUCAGCUUGAGUGAAGAUAUACUUGAGACUCUUGCGAUCCGUAUAGAUGUUAUAGUGAGUCCCCAUAAGAUAAUGCCUCCAAAUUUUCAGGGCAUGAACAACCGCUGCUAACUCAAGAUUAUGAGUAGGAUAAUUCAACUCAUGUGGUCAUAACGCUCGCGAGGCAUAGGCAAUGACUCGGUUGUCUUGCAUAAGAACACAUCCAAGUCUAGUGCCAGAGGCAUCGCAAUAAAUGUCGAACGGCUUAGUUGUGUCUGGCUGAGCUAGAACUAGUGCGGAGGUCAACAAUCUCUCAAUGUGUGGACAACUUCUUCACAUUUGUCGCUCCACAUAAACUUGACUCCUUUCUUUACUAAUUCAGUCAUUGGCUUACCUAUCUUCAAGAAGUUAGGAAUAAAUCGCCGAUAGUAUCCUGCUAGACCGAGAAAGCUUCAAAUUUGAUGAACUGAAGUGGGUGGCUUCUAGUCCAUUACCUCUUGGACUUUGCUUGGGUCUACUACUAUGCCAUCGCUGGAUAUAGUGUGUCCCAAGAAUUUAACACUAUCCAGCCAAAAUUCACACUUGGAGAAUUUGGCAUACAGUUAGUGAUCCCUUAAGCAUUGAAGAACAAUGUGAAGAUGCUCUGCAUGUUCCUCCUCAUUCCUUGAGUAUACCAGGAUAUCGUCGAUGAAUACCAUGACAAAUUUGUCAAGCUCGAGCAUGAACACUGAAUUCAUGAGAUACAUGAAAUAAGUCGGCGCAUUAGUAAGCCCAAAUGACAUAACUGGGUACUUGUAGAGUCCAUACCGCGUAGAGAAAGCAGUCUUGGAAAUAUCGCACGGUCGGAUCUUGAUCUGAUGGUAGCCGGAGCGAAGAUCAAUUUUGGAGAAUACUCUGGCUCCAGCUAACUGAUUGAACAAAACAACAAUGCGGGGUAAUGGAUACUUAGUCUUUAUUGUCACCACAUUGAGAGGUGGGUAGUCCACACACAUGCGUAGACUCUCGUCCUUCUUUUUCACAAACAAAGCUGGACAGCCCUAAGGUGAUGUACUUGGGCAAAUGAAACCUUUUUCCAACAAUUCAUGUAACUGGGUUUUCAGUUCUGCCAGCUCUGUGGGUGACAUCCGAUAUGGCCUUUUGGAAAUCAGUGCUGUGCCUGGUUGCAACUCAAUAGCAAACUCGAUAUCUCUAUCUGGCGGCAUACCCGGCAAGUCAUCUGGAAACACAUCGAGAUACUCACAUACCACUGGGAUGUCCUCCAAUCGAGCUUCAGCCACGGGAUUGUAACAACUCUACCUUAAUUAGGUAUAGUUAAACUUAAGCAAGUCAUUAGUCACUAAGUAAAAGAGGUAAAAUUUCCAAUUUGCCCCUAAAAAGCUAUUUUUUGGAGUUAAAUAGAAAACAUGAGUUUUUUAUACAAACUUAAAAUUUUGCCCACAUAAGAGUUUUAAAACUUUUAAUUUCAAACAACUUUUAUUAAUAACACUUUGGCUAAUUCGGAGUGGGAGAGGGUCAAAAUAAGAAUCAAAUCAGGAGUAUAUCAAAACCCUACAGAUGACCUAAGUCCUGGAAUUCAUGUUUUUCCUCAAAUUUGCAACCUGUUAUCUCACAAUUCUAUAACUAACCUCAAGUCAGACCCUUAAUAGAAAUUGUAGUUCCUUGAGUGUGUUCCAACUUUGUUACACUGACCCAGGUCCAAAUUACAACCGAACCUGCUCAAAAACUUGGUCAAAAUCAUGUAAAACAGUCAACUCAGCCUUUUUGCAUUCUAUCGCCAAGUCUGGAAAGCGUCCAGAGCGUGCAUCUUGGCGAGCCUGUUCCUCCAAAUAUUUGAACUGAACUCAAGAAAAGUUUUUAAUAGAAGUUGGAGUCCUAAGACCGAAGAACUUUUCCUUCAAUUACACUUUGGCCUGAUUCAAACGGGAAGCUACUCAAAAUCUGAGCUAAAGUUGGCUAAAAUGCUGAAAAAUAGCAAAACCAAGAUAUGCCUCAAGUCCCUGGAGGCCGGCGUUCUGCCGAACUUGGCAACUCCAUAGUUUCAAAUUCAUCUCGUUUUCAAGCAAACUCCUUUUGUAAAGUUUGAAGCUGGAUGUUAGGUCUAUAAGUUUUACUUUUGGAGUUUCACGAGUUCUUUCAAAAAGUUUGGAGAAAAAGCCCCCAAAACCAGCCCUGUUUGACUGCCCUGAGGAGCACCCCACCCCACGCACGCCCGAAGCGCGCCCGCACGUACGCCCGUGCGCCGCCCACCACGUGGCCGCCGUCCACCAGCGAGCUCGCCGUUGCCCAACCAGCCGCCGCAACAAGACCCCUCACGUGCUUGGCUACCUAGUAGGCGAGCGUGCUUAUCCUGCCCCUGGCGUCACGCAUAUCAUCGCUCCAUCCCCAUCAAGCUCCGCCCGCCGGAGGACGCCACGCCGCCGCCUCGGACCGGCCAAGCUCCGACACCUAUCGCCGCCCGGACAGCGGCCGCACGUGCGCCUCGCUCCGUCAACCCCUGGCUGCGGCAAAGCUGCGCUUGCAUGACUCGUUAUUCCAAGGCCAAUGACCGGGAGAUCCUAUCCCGCGGUCUCCGCGUCUUGGCCAAUGGCGCCACCACCAAUGGAGCUCCGGCCCACGGCCCACAGAGCAUUCCGAUCCUAUCCGCCCAUUCCUGAAGCUACGCCUCACUCCCCCGCACCUCCCAGGCCCCAUAUAAGGACUUAUGGCGACGCCUACACCGCCCUCCGCCACUUCCAGCACUGCUGCUCCCCUAUUUUCCAGCGCCGCCGCACGGGUCUCCCAUGGAGCCCCCACCUCUGCGCCGCCCCGCACCUCGCUGACACCACCGCUCGCUUCGCCGCACCACCGUGCACGUCUUCGAGCGACUUCUUGCUCUCCCGAAGCCCCGCCGUCGCCAGAACUUCACCGGGAUCCUGCCGCCGAAGCCACUUCCGUCCCCAAGCCGUUCCGCCGCCACCGAGUCUGCUCUGCUGCCCUAAUUGCCACCAAUCGACCCUAGGUGAGCCCGCGUUCCUCCCCGGUCACUUGUUGCCCUAGCCAGACCCUCACCUUGCCGGAAUCGGGCGAAGAUCGCCGUCGACCGCCGCGAGGACCUGUCUGUGUUGUUUACCUUCUUCCAAGGGCCUUAGCGCAAGAACUAUGGACCCCUGCGUAAAUAAACUGUAGACACGAAGGGUUAGUUUGUAAGUUGAUUUCGAUUUAUUGUUUUAAAUUGGCAGAAAAUGGGUUAAACUUUGUAAAUUCACCAUAAAUCGUAGACAAAUCAGAAAAAUGCCAAACCACUUUUGUUGAGCUCAGUAAGCUGUGUAGUUUCGUGCAAAAAAUAAUCUUGUUCAUGUUACUAUUGGAAAUAAUAUCCUAUAGUUUUAUUUCUUUCUUAGGCCUUUUAAAUCAUACUAAAUCGAAGAAAAAUGCUAAAAAGGUAAAUCCAACUUUGUGGUGUCUGUUUAAGUGGGUAGAAGAUCAAAAAAAUACUUAGUGCCUUGGAGUAGAACUUAAAAUCACUGUUUUAACCUUAUAUUUAAAAUCUAGGGUUAAAUCUUACUUUUUGCAUAAGUUUUAAUCCAGAGCUGAGAAAAAUAUGAAACCACUUGGAGUAACUUGGUUUGGAAGUGUAGUUUGUAGGAAAAAUAUGGUUUAUGGUCAGAGUCAUAAAGAAACCCACCCUUCCAUAUAAAACAUGAUAAAUAGGAGAAAAUAUGGGAAAUAGAUGUCCUUCUCUAAAAAUCAUGAAAAAUUCACCAAAGUCUCUGUAACCAACCUUCAAUCUAUUGUUACAUUUUCACCCUCAGAAUCACUAUAGGUUUUGAGAUAAAAAUAGUUAAGUACAUGCUACCCUUGGUGGUAAAAUGCUUUUAAUUCUUUUUGUGGUAAUCCAAUAGAUCCCAAAUUUUUACAGUAACCCAUUGAUGACCUAAGUGAGGUGCUGUAAUUUUCUCAGUGCCAUAUGUUACUGUUUGCUUGUGGAACCAUAUUUUGGAUAAGAAAUCGGUUUAAGUGAAUAAAGAAAUAUAAGUCCUAAUACACCUAAUGGGUAAUUUUUGAAAGCGAUACAAAAAACAUUCAGUGGUAAAUAACUCUCCAAGUGAACCCCGAACAUUCCUAAAAAUGACCCCACCUUCCUUAUGCAACUCUAAGUUGUAAGAAUCUUAUAUGUACACAAUUACCAUCAAAGUCAACCUCGAGUUUAAACCACAACCCACCUUACUUUAUGAAGUUAAGGAAAGUUAGAACCUUGUUUAGGUGAAUGUGACCUAAAUACAACUUUCUUUCUAGCAAUAAGUCAUGUCUUACAUCCUUCAUGCAAAGCAUGGAAAAAUCUAAACUCUUUGCAUGUGCAUGUCAUGUAGAAGCUAAUAUUGCCGACGGAACCUACGAGCUCCACCCUACGUUGGAAGAGGAAACCAUCUCGGAGCUACAUCACGCGGAAGUUGAGCCUGAGCUAGAUCAAGACCCUGAGGAACCGCUAACUUUUCCUGAAGGCAAGCCCUGGUGCAUGUUUCCCUGUUUUAAAUUUAUGCAAUAUGUUGGUGCUUAUGAUUGUGCAUUUACGUUGUAGGAGUUGAUUGAAACCGUAGAUGCAUGACUUAGUACCUUGUUUUGAUCACUAGUUGAUAAGGUCGAGUAGUUGCUGUGCUAAAUAGGACUCGGUAAAAGGUUGGGUGAUUGCCUGUCACUCGCGAGUUAUAGGAGUUGUGUGAUUACUCUUUCUCAACUAUAAGGAUGACUGACGGGAUCGGGAAUGGUUCUGAUGUGGUGGUNNNNNNNNNNNNNNNNNNNNNNNNNNNNNNNNNNNNNNNNNNNNNNNNNNNNNNNNNNNNNNNNNNNNNNNNNNNNNNNNNNNNNNNNNNNNNNNNNNNNNNNNNNNNNNNNNNNNNNNNNNNNNNNNNNNNNNNNNNNNNNNNNNNNNNNNNNNNNNNNNNNNNNNNNNNNNNNNNNNNNNNNNNNNNNNNNNNNNNNNNNNNNNNNNNNNNNNNNNNNNNNNNNNNNNNNNNNNNNNNNNNNNNNNNNNNNNNNNNNNNNNNNNNNNNNNNNNNNNNNNNNNNNNNNNNNNNNNNNNNNNNNNNNNNNNNNNNNNNNNNNNNNNNNNNNNNNNNNNNNNNNNNNNNAUGUUCUAGACACCUCAUUACCAUCAGUAGCCUUCAGAUGAUGCAUCUGCUGCGUUUAAGGCUGCUUACAAGAAGGCAUUUGAUGCUAAUCGUGAGGUAAGUUGCCUUAUACUAGCUUGCAUGGAACCCGAGCUGCAGAUGCAGUUUGCAACAAAUCAUGAGGCUCACGAUAUGAUCGUGGCGCUCAAGGACAUGUUCCAGACACAGGCUAGGACCGAAAGGUUCAAUGUGUCCAAAGCCUUUCUGGAGUGCAAGUUAGCAGAAGGGGCAGCAGUAGGACCACAUGUAAUCUAGAUGGUUGGUCCCAUCCGUCAUCCUUAUGGUUGUAGUAUGAGUAAACAACAACUCCUAUAACUCGCGAGUGACAGGCAAUCACUCGACUUUUACCAAGUCCUAUUUAGCAUAGCAACUACUCGACUUUAGCAACUAGUGUUCAGAUUGAGGUACUAAGUUCGUGCAUCUAAGGUUUCAAUCAACUCCUACAAACGUAAAUGCACAAUCAUAAGCAUCAACAUAUUGUAUAAUUUGAAAACAGGAAAGCAUGCACCGGGGCUUGCCUUCAGGUUUAGAAAAAGCUAGUUGGUCUUCAGGGUCUUGAUCUAGCUCAGGCUCAGCUUCCAUGUGAUGUAGCUCUGCAGCGGGUUCCUCUUCCAGCGUGGGAUGGAGCUCGUAGGUUCCAUCUAUGAUAUUAGCUUCUACACCACAUGCAUAUGCAGAAAGUUCAAAUUCUCCAUGCUUUUAUAUGAAGGAUGAGAGACAUGAAUUUUUAUUGAAGUAUAAGUUACAUUUCAACCACAUUCACCUAAACAAGGUUCUUAACUUUCAUUAUCUUCAUGAAGUAAGGUGUGUUGUGGUUUAAAACUCGGGGUUAACUUUGAUGGUGAUUGUGUACAUACAUAAGGUUCUUACAACUUAGAGCUUCACAAGGAAGGUGGGGGGUCGCUUUUAGGAUUGUUCGGGGUUCAUUUGGAAAGUCAUUUAUUUCUGAAUUUCUUUAUGUACCUCUUCCAAAAAUUACCAAUUAAGCUUACUAGGACUUAACCUUUUCUUUAUUCGUUUAAACCGAUUCAUCUUCCAAAAUUUGUUUCCAUAUUUAAACAGUAACAUAUGACACUUAGAAAUUAGUAGUAUCUUACUCAUGUCAUCUAUGAGUUACUAUAAGAAAUUUGGGAUCCAUUGGAUUAGUACAAAUAUAAUUAAAAUUAUUUUAUUACCCAAAGACAGCAUGUACUUCACUAUUUUUUAUCUCAAAACCUACAGUGAUGCUGAGGGUGAAACUUUAACAGUGGGUUGAAGGCGUGUUAUAGAGACUUUGAUGAAUUUUUCAUAAUUUUUAGUGAAGGACAACUAUUUCCCAUAUUUAUCUUCUAUCUAUCUUUCUUCCAACAGAAAGGCAUGCCUCAACAAGUUAAAUUUAGUGUUUCAUAUUUUUCCUAAGAACUACUUUUCAAAACCAGGGUACUCCAAGUGGUUUCACAUUUUUCUCUGCUGUGGAUUAAAACUUAUGCAAAAAGAAAGAUUUAACCUUAGACUUCAAAGAUAAAGUUAAAACAGGGAUUUAAAGUUCUACACUAGGGUCUUAACUAUUUUUCCAAGCUUCUGUUCAAAGAAACAGACACUUUAGAGGUGGAUUAGUCAUUUUUACAUUUUUCUGUGAUUUACCAUGAUUUAAAAGGCCUAAGCAAGAAAUAAAACUAUAGGGUAGUAUUUCCAACAGUAACAUGGGCAAGGUUAUUUUUCCAUGAAACUAUGUACUUCAGUGAGUUCAACAAAAUUUAUUUGACAUUUUUUAGAGCUUCCUACAUUUUUUGUGCAUUUUCAAAGUUCAUCUAUUUUUCUGCCAAAAUAAAACAAAGAAAACCGAAACGACUUUACAGCUAGGCCCCUGAAGUUUUCAAAACAUCACACGUAUGCCCUCGGUUCUAACAAAAAGAUCCCUGCAGGGUUUCCCCAAUCACACCCGUGCCCUCAUGGCGGGUGCGGCGGCGGGAAUGAAAUUCCGACGAGCCUAGAGGCUAAACGAUGCGAACAAUGGGUGGGAGACGUGUGGGUGCUCACUGUGAGGGGAUUCGGUGAAGGUCGGGGCGGUGGAGAAGGCGUGUGGAUAGCGAAUGGCGGUGGGGACGAAACAUGAGCGGUGGCAAAGGGUUCUCCAAUGUUCUAGCGUCGGCGGUGCUUCGGGCGGCCAAUGUAGGGGGCUGUGAGCUGCACGUCGUGGUGGCGGAGCUUGCGAAGGUGUUGGCGAGGUGCGGGGCGGCGUAGAGCAGGGGGCUCCACGGAGGGUUAGUGCGGCUGCGCUUAGAGCAGAGGGGGCGGCAGAGCUUUGCGGGUGCGGGGAGUUGCGCAGGCGGCACAUUGAUCCCUUUUAUACGGCCAAGGAGGUGCGGAGGGCGAGGGCGGACCCAAUUCUGGUGGCAGACGUGGUUGGAGGUGAGCGGGGGAGAAGAACAGGGUAGCGCCAUUGGCCGACGGCGCUCACUGGCGGAGGGAAGAUGCGGGCGUGUGCAAAAAUCUUCCAGCGAUUGGAUGGGAGAGAUAGGAGGUGUGCGGGAUCCUCUUUGUCUGGCGGAGCGAUUGGGCAAGCCGGGCGUCAUCGUGUCACCGUCGAGCGGCGGGUUGGGAAGGUGGAGCUUGGCCGACGUGCAGCAAAGGCAUGGCGGAGGGAAGCGGCAGAGGCACGACGCAGCAUUGGGUGAAGGAUAUGCUUGGGCAGGGGGAGGAUAGGGUCGCGCGGUCAUUGGGCAAGAUGGCGCGUCGACCCAUCUCAUCCUGGCGCGGAUUGGCCAUGGCGGCUCGCCGGUGGGGGAUGUCCACGCGGCGGUGGUGAGCUGGGCAGGCACGGGCCAUGCGCGCUCUGGCGUGGGGGCGAUAUGAGGCAGGCCAAGGGCCAAAGUUUAGGCUGAGGUUAAGCUAGAUUUUUGAACUAAACUUCAACUUCUGCCUUUCUAAGAUUUGUAGUCCUUAAAACAAAGUUUAAAACUUACAAAAGAUGUUACUCCCAAAACAGAAUAGAUUUGAAAUUAUGAGGUUCCAAAGUUUGUUAGAACGCUGAUGGUGGUUCUUGGCUUUCACCUCCACCUUUGGGCUGACUCACUUCCUGCUCCUCAGGAAGCACUGCCAGUGGUGGUUCUUGCCUUUCUAGCUAUCUCCUAGCACUGCAUGGGCCUGACUCGGGGAGGUCCUGGUGGCACGCUUGGGAGGCAUCUGUAGAUUGAGCAGGAUUUUAUGAGACUAAGAUCUGGGUUUAAGUGAUCUUUAAGGUAAUUAAUUCGUAUUUUUGAAAAGACAGAAUCCACCUCCUGUUGACAAACACACAGACUAACAAACAACAGGCACAAACGAUUUUAUUUUUGCCACGGGGAGGGGUACAACACUUUGGGGUAAGGCCAAAACACGCACUACACGACCGAGUACAACAACAUAACUGGGGGUACAACUCUAAGCUUCGGACCGAGAUGGAUUCAUUCCCUUGGGUGCAACUCUAGGUGGGCACACUAUUCACGGGGCGAGUCUUCUUCCUGGACGGAGUGGUCUUCUAGCGAAAUCAGGAGGGCCAGCUCAUCUCCUUCCUUCAACAUUCUGUAUGUGGGAGGGGGCUCUGCUGCUUCUCUCUCCGCGAUCUUAGAGCCUCUUCUGGAAGCCUCUGGAAGUGGUGGUACUGGUGGAAUGUCGAGGCUCUUCCUUCUGUAGAACUCAAGGGCGAGAGGGAUUCCUUCAAAGAAAGGGGGCUCCUCGACCUCCGAGGCAACCAUCCAUCUCCUGGUAAGCCCUCCGAGAUGGGCCUCCUUUAGCUCUUGGAGAUGCCAUUCCUGAGCUUGCUUAAGGGCUUCUACGGCAGCAGCCUCUCCACUUCGGGCGGGCAUAACUUGUGCUUUGGCCUCCCUUAGCAUUACUUGGAGCAUCCUUAUCUGGACUUCUGCCCUCUCGGUGUGGUGAAUCUUUUGCUUCAGCUUUGCGACCUGUUGAUCAUAGAGCUUAUCUAGACUGACAAGAUAGGCGGUCAUGUGGUACACUGUGGGGUCCUCUUCACGUUGUCCCUGCUCAUCCAAAGCUCUCAUCCGGGCUCUCCAACCUGGAUGGUCCUUCUCGGCAGGCGGGAAGUAUCUCAUGGAAGUGGGCUCGAGGUGCAUCUCGUACACCUGACACAGGUAACCAAGAGCCUUUCAAACCGCUACGGGAUAGGUUUCCCGGUGCCAGAAACCCAUAGCUGAUACUUGAAGCGGCUCGAUGUUGGGAUGGUGAGCACUCCUUCCAAUGUGGAUGAUCACUUCCCAUCGAGGGAUACCGUAGCGCUCGUACUCCCUGCUGGAGUACUCCGGGGGCUCUCGGAUGCCAAGACGCUUCAGGCAAACGAACAACAACUUGGGAAAAUCGGGCUCUUCUAGGCAGUGGUUGUGGGUCCAUUCUCCUUCAGCCAUCUGGAAAGAAUUGGGGUGCGAAUUAGUUUUGCAAUAGAGUAGGGCAAGGAAGAAAUUUUGUAAAUCACUUAUUUUGGUCAAAGAGGCUUUUUCGGUCCUAAGGUCACGUCCUACAGCCAACGAUGGCUUUGAUAGCACCUGAAGCGUCCCCACAUCAGCGGACACUAAAUGUGAUACAAAUAUCAAUCCCAGGAGACUGAUAACACAUUUAUUCACCGGAUGGUUCAAAACCGUACAACUCCCGAAGGAGCGGGCGGGCAAGCCACACCCAAAGAGAAACAAACCAACAACAAUCCAGAUCCAAGUUGCAGUCCAGUCGGACUCUAGGCUGCAAUCGGAACUAAGCGACAGCGGAAGCAUUCUGCAAAGGCCAACACCACAGGCAGCGUUGGGUGCGGAAGUGACCUUCCACUCGAAAUCCUCGGCGACGAAGUCUGGGUCUUCCUCUGAAGUAACAAAAUAAGGGUGAGUGCAAAAGUGCUCAAAAAGUCCAACCCCAUCCACGGAGGGGGAUACAAUCAAGAGUAUGCACAGGAUAUGUCAAGGAUGAAGCUAAGGUUCAUUUUCCAUAAAGCUACAUUUUUCAACACAUGCAGGGGUUCAUUUUCAAAAGGUUUUCCCAACUCCUGCAGCGUUUUCCAUAGCAGCUGCACAAACCCUGGCUUAUCCAGGUAAUGCCCGCGGGUCCAUCCAUCCUGGUCGGUGUAGCCUUCUUGAAACAUCCUAUAAAAGAAACGAGGUUAGGUCUAACGCCACUCACCAAACCCAAAAGUUUUUUUAAAACAUGCUUAUGCAACAUGAUGCAACGACUCCUACGUACUCACAGACUCAUAUACACACUCGUAGAGAAAUUGGUGGCAUCGUAACCUCUCCCUAAUAAUAUACUACCGAAUACUAGCGACACGCAGCAAACAGUUAGCAUCUGCAAAACAAACAACCAGUUAACACUACUGCCACCUGUGACUCAUGUUUUCUUUAUUUUAAAAUAGAGUCUCAGUUUUUAAAUGGUAAUAUCUGUUAACUAUCCCAACCUACGGCUCUGAUACCAGCUGUGGCAGAACCGUCCAACUUAAACUGGUUUAAAUGCAUCUAAUUGCUGCCGAUGCAGCAAUUAUCCGAAACACACUUAAAACAGUACAAGUCCGGUCGUCCGUUGAGUGUCCCCAGGACUCCUCGAAAGAUCCACGUCGUGUCUCAUAGCCAUACAUCAGGAUUGUAUCCGCGAUGGGAUAGCAUCAACAAAUAUUACAUUUUUACAUACAUACAAGAGGUACGAGUUAAUACAAGACAUAGUUUGAAGCAAACUUAACAGUGCAGUGUUAGACAGAGUUCUAGGACUUAAAACAUAAACGGCGGGUGGAGAUGAGUAUUAUAAGAUUUCUUCUAAGGGUAUUGUGAGACUCGUAACAAUACCCUAGGAUUUCGGGGCUUCCUCCUCGGUGGACUCCUGCGGUGCUUCUGAAAAGAUAGCCACAAGGGAUAACCCUGAGUACGGUGUACUCAGCAAGUCUUACCCGACUAACCAAUAUAAUAGUUUUUCUUGGAAGUACAUGAUAGCUUUUUGGUGUACUUGGCUGAUACAUUUUUGCUGAAAACCUUACUACAAGUGACGCCUUAGUUUUAUCUUUUAUUUGAGUUAACUUGUUACCUAACCAUUCUAGAUGAUAAAAAAAAAUUAAUUGCGAACAACAAGGUAUUAAGUCAUCCACCAAUCAUUAUUUAGAGAGAUAUGACAUUCGUGAAUUUAUACUACGAUGCUCAACAGUGAUCAAGUGCAUUCAUAACCGAGAAUUGCGGCGAUCCGGAUCAUAUUACAUCCUGCAGGAGAGUACCCUGAUCACCAGCUAUAUACGACUGUCCAGGUCGUACGUAACGACUUUUCGAUUAGCAAAACCAAUGAUUGGGAAUAAGACUACCCGGACCCAGGGACGCAACCCCACAUGGGACCCCACGUCUGGCCCGAUCACCAUGUGAGUUUCAGGCUACGCCCCUGCCAAUCUCCAGCACGUCAAGCACGGGUACGAAGUAUUCCCGAUCAAAGAGUUUACUAACCUACUGGGCUUUACUGGUCCUAUACCCAGUAAGUGAUCAGAUGAUUAUCACUUGAUCAAAGGUUAAGACAACGAAUCGGGCCUUAACCAAUUUAAUCUAGCAGACAGAACUACAUCCUUAGCUUCUGUCUGCUUCUCAAUUUCCAAGUCAUCUUUCCAUAAAUAACAUGUAUGACUCAAAAUUUUCCUUAAGGUUGGUAAACCAAGUAUUUAAGCAACUAAGCAAUUCUAGACUUGGGUUAUCUACUAAAGGUUUGAACAAGUGGCAAAGAUGUCCUUAAAACAAGGUAUGAUCAUGCACAAGAAUGGGUUUCAAGCAACUCCUAGACUUAGUGCAUACAUAUAGCAAUAGCUAAAUACAGGACACAUGAAAUAUUGACUUCAAAAUAAUAGGUAUAAUGCACCGGGGCUUGCCUUGUUCGCUUAAAAAGUUAGCACUGUCCGAAGGGUUGGCCUCGCAAGGGACCAAUUCAAAGAUUUCCUCAAACUCCGAAGAUCCUUCUGAAUAUUCCGAGUAAUCUCCUUCUGGUGCUUCGGGGUCUAUAGCAUAACAUAUGCAGGGGUUAGGAAUGCAAAUUUUUGAAUAUAAGACUAUACAACUUUCCUUCAUGAUAAAGUUGCAAGCCAACAAGGACUAUACAAUUUAUCAUGAUAAAGUUGCAAGCCAACACACAAAAACCCAAAAAGAUUAGCCCACAAUUUUUAUUUCCUUAAUUAUCCUUACUUAAGGCCUUUUCUUUUAUUUGUAGAAAAUGUUACAAUUAUUUUCUAACUGGAAAACCUAAUUUCCUAUGAGUUAAUAAUAAUUUGUGAUUAUGAAAAUGUUAUUCUAUAUUUUAUGCCUUUAUUAAAGAUUAAGUAUUUAUUUAAUUACCUUAAAAGAAAGAGAUUAAAUAAAUACCCAAAUUUUUAUUAUUUUUCUAGGGUAUAAAAAAUUUUAAUGCAUAAAGGAAAAUAAAACAAGCCUAACAAAAUUGGUUUCACUAAUUUUGGACACGCCUAGAAAUUUCUGUGAUUUAAAUGGUGAGAUUCGGAUUUAAACUAAUUAUUCUAUAAAGGAAAUCUAAAUUUUCCCGAAAAACGCCCCCGGCAACUUUUCUCACAUGGCCCUACUCUACCCCCUCUCUCUUACGCUGGGCCCGCGGCGCGGACCCACCCCUUCUCCUAUUUAUUCUACCCGCCGGCCCCUUUCUCCUUGGCCGGGCUCUACUGGGCCGAUUUCUCCUCUCUUCUUUAAUCCGAAACCCAGCAUCGGCCCACUGGCCCAUCCUUUCUUUUUCUUCUUUCUUUGCAGCGCCGGCCUGCCGAAUCUCUGGGCCUCCGGCCUUUCUCUCCACCGGCCAACCGCACGCGCUCCUGGGCCUUCAAGACCGCGGCCCAUCUGGCUUCCGCGUGCGACCGGCCUGCCUCCUUCACUCCCCCGCCUCCUCUGACAUGCGGGUCCGCUGCUCCAGCUCCUUCUUCCUCCUCCCGCCAAAACUGGCACGACAGGGGGCGGCGCGGCUCGCCAGCCGGCGCCCUACCGGCGACGGGACUAGGUCGGGAAAGCAUCUCUGUGCCCUCACGCACCCGCGCGCGGUGACAGCUCUCCGGGAGGUGGCUGGAGCCACUCCCUCCACGGCGGCGGGUGGCGGUGCCUACGGCCGGUCGCGGCUACGCAUGUCGACGGCUUAACUUACCCCGACGACUACUGCUAUAGCCUCCUGGUACUCUGAGGACUCACCUACGACUACCCACACAAACAGAGAGGAGCGGCAAGAGGGUGCUCACCGUGAGCAGGACGUGCGGCGACGGCGGACGGAAACGAUGGCGGCUUAUGGCACGCCGGCGGAGAAGCUGGGCAACAAGUGGCUAGGGUUGUUGGUGGGGUAUGUAUGGAGAUGUGGAUGGAGGGAAUCGACGAGAGCGGCGGUGUGGUGGGGGAAUUUCACCCGGCGGCGGCUUGGACAGAGGAGCGGCGGCGGUAAAAAGAACAGCGGUAGAAGCGGGCAGCGCGGGAGCGGUAGUUAUUCAAGCUUUCACCGCGCGCAUGGUUGCUACCGUGGUCUACUCGUAGGCUUGCGUGGUGAGGAGGUGGCGUAGCUGCCGCACUGGCGAGCGACCGAAGACGGCGGUGGCGACACGUUGAGCGCGACUCUGUCAUCCUCCCCCUCUUUAUCUCUGACGCCCGAAAAUUCAGAGCUCCACCACGGUUGAUUUUGAAUCCGACGGUUCACAAGUUGCUUAAACAAAGUUGUAGAUAAACUUGAAUCCUUCAACUUUUAUUUUGGCUCUGACCUGAGAUAAACAUCCUAAUAUAGUAAAAUUUUGAAUUCUUUCUUGCAUUUGUCUGAACUUCUCUGAAACUCGACAUUCAGUUCGUCAGUCUUGAACAGAGUCACUUACCCGACUUUAGAAAUGGUUUAUUUGAUCUAAAUCCCUUCCUCUCUGUCCAACUACUUCCCAAUUGUGUUUUACAACCUUCAAAGUUUCCAUUUUGCCCAUAAACACUUGCACCUUUUGUUCUAUAUUUUUCUGAAAUCGACUCCAAACUUAGCCAUAUAGUGCUGUUUCAGACUUAGAUGAAUUCAGAGGUGCAGUUUACCGUGACAAGGUGCCAACUUUGAGCUUCCAUUUGAAAUGGUUCCCUCUAUUAUUCCUGAUCAACAGCACUUAAAGAUUCUUGUCCAAAGUCCACACUUUAAUAUGGUAUAGUUGUUUGGAUCCACUUAUUUGAAAAAUUCAACAGAAUUCAAUUUCCAAAAAUGAACUCUGUGCUGUUUUUCUGAAACUGCUGUUGUCGGACGGGGAACAGUAACCUUGUUUUUCAUUUUCUUUCUUUGAUUUUCUUGAGGUAUUCAGGACCAAUCCUUGUCCCAAAUUUUGAUCUUUAAGUUCUAAUCACCCUUACACCUCCAUUCCAUAUUUUUGCGGAAUUUUUCUGAAUUUCGAAUUCAAAAUUCAAAUUUCGGUCAAAUUUGACCCGAAUUUGAUUUUUGGCCAAUUUCUUCUUCAUUUCUUCACGAAUUGCUUCCAUUUCUUCAGAGUCACUUUGAUGACUAAAAUGGCAGGUAUUACAGGAAUGGCCGGUGGCGGCCGACCGACCGGUCCUCGGCGACGACGAGCUGAGUGGCGGAGGAGGUAGAGGAGGGUGAGGGAAACCCGUUUUGCCCCUUACCUUGGGGAUUCAGUGAUGGGAAGGGGGCGGCCAUCGGUGGAUAGGAGGCGGCGGCGGCGUGCUUGGCGGCACGCAGGAGCGGGGUGCAAGGGGAGAGCGGGGGAGGUGCUGGUGGCUUGGGCGACGAGGUUGGGCGGCGAGGUGGGGCGUCGCCCCCCUUUUAUAGGCCGGCGAGGGAGGAAGACGACGAGCUGCCGGUCAUGGGAGCCCCGGUCCGGCGAGCUUGGGCAGUCGGUGAGGUUGGGAGGUCGGCGAGGCUCAGUGCGGUGGUGGAUUAGGGGCUGACGGUGGUGUAGCGGGACGAGGAUGGGCGCUGGAGGGCGGGCGGCGCAGCGAGCAGCAUCGACGCCAGCGCCGGGCGCGUUGCGGGUGGCGUGCAGGGAGGAGCCAGCGAGGCCGAGCCAGCGCGGCAGGGGAGAGAAGGGAGGGGCCCUAGGCAGGCUCGGCAGGGGUUGGUGGAGAAGGGGGGAGCUGGGCGCACAGCGCCGGCCAGGGCGCAGGUGGGGUUGGCCAAGGGGAGGUAUGCGUGCGGCCAGCCAGGAAGAAAGAGGAGGAGGAGAAAGGAAGAAGAAGGAGAAAGAAGGAAGGAGAAGGAGAAGAAAGAAAGGAAGAGAGGAAAAAAAAAGAAAAAGGAAAAAUGGGGAAAGAGAAAAGAGGAAAUAAAAGGAGAGAGUCGGUGAUGAUUGCGGGAAACGGUCGGCACGCGCGAGACUUUUGUCGGACAUGCGGUGGAGGAAGCGGUGGAUGAAAUUGAUGGCGAUCGGCGUGGAUGCCAGGACGGCGAAAUCGUCAGGAAAAUUAGAUUUUCAGGGAGCUCAACGGUCGAAAGAUUUUGAAAAUAAUUUUUAACGAGUGUUUUAGGUUGGUGAAUUUUACGAAUGUUACAUCUACCUAGAUAGCUGCAACCUAAUCCAUUGCAGGUGCAUUGUACCUCCUCUGAUCAACUGAAAUACUGGUGUUCAGCUCAAUUGUAUUCUCUAUAUUAGUUAUAGUACCCAAGCUCGUGAACAAUUGGACGUACGGGUUAUACCUUUGUAGAUCACCUCGGAUCAAGUGAAUCAGAUUUUUAUCAAGAUUAGGUGACCUCUUAACACAAUGAUCAAUACUAUCAUCCGUGUCGUAAAAGUAGAGCUGCAUAUGACACAGCCCUUUACCAUUUGGAGUUAGUGGAUCCAGCUUAUGGUAAAUCUAGCCAUGGCCCUUAAAACAGUACACACCACUACCUUUUGUGGUUGCUAAACGCUGGUCAAUAGAAACCCCAGAGCUAGUGAAAGAAAAAUGUGAGUUGAAGUACCAGAUGUGCUUUCAAAAGUAUUUUGCAUCUCUAUCCGUUUGACUUGCAAACAAACGACGAAGCUCAUAUGGCAUUUUUGGUAUAUAUGUGCACCUUACCACUUUUGCAGCAGAACACAAGACCUUCAUCGGGAACCUCUUAGCAUUGCAUAAAUAACAAUUUUGUACCUUCCUCAACACGUGAUGGUUCUUAGGUAGGUUACGGUACACUACAUGGGAAUGUCCCCUGCAACAUACUCAGGAUCUCUGGAAUACUUAUACACAAAAUCUAUAUAUGACAAAAAAUAGUAAUAAGAUAACAUAAAGCCAUAUUCCAAAUAUGUAUGAUGCGUUACGGAAACUCAUCCUUCUCGUGAAACACCCUUGCUUCGUCAUCUAGCACGAUAUCAGGUCCAUCACCGUCUGGAGCCAUUUGGUCCGGAUCGUUCUCUAUUGCAUGGGAAAAUAUAUAAUCAAUAUAUAUAUAUAUAUAUAUAUAUAUAUAUAUAUAUAUAUAAUAUGUACCAAUAGUAAAACUAUAGCCAUAUAAUAUAUAAUAUGCCCAUACCUUCUAUUCCAUGCAUAGGGUCAUCUGGUUCCCAAAUUUCCCUGUUAUAUUCUUCUUGUACAACCAUUUUUUUAAUAGACUGUCUUAUUGUUGGACCAGAGUUCAGUUGGGUCAUUCCAGAUUGCAAAGUCCCAUUCGCAGGAGUAUGUAACAAAUCUUCUGUAUGUAUAGUAGAGGAAGCACAGUACAUACAUAAAAUAAAUCAUCAUUCAUCGCAAUGCCUGCACUGUAUCGAAUCGAAGAUCACAAUAUCUGCGAACUGUACCCUGGUUAGAGGUUUUCCGGUGUCUCCGAUCUUUGUUAUUUUUUAAUAUCUUCUCAUGUUUAUCAUGGCUUGACAGAUCAGCAUAUCUUUUGCGGUCUCUUUAUCUCUUCGAUUCCUCAGGACACACAUCUACUCCACAAAAAAACAAUUAUGAAUAUCACCUUCAAAUAAUUUAUAUGGCUUCGAUGUACAAAUAAAAAAUACAAAUAUGUAUACCUGCAUCUUGUGUUGCAGAGUCCAAUGUUAACACAGACUGAUUGGUUUGAAUUUCAUUUGGCUGCAGCGCAAUAUCUGAAGUGAUCAGAGUAAUAUCAGCAAUUUAUACGAUAAAAGUGAUCAGAGUAAUACUGAACCAUCUUACUGAAGAAAAACAUACCAGCAAAGGCAAGGGCAGGUGUUUCUACAUCCAUGCCAGUUGCUUCACCCAGGCAAUUCGAUCUCAUUCUAUUCAUCCUUUUAUUGGCAUUCCGUUGAGCCUUUUUCUCAGCUGACAUAGAUGCAUAGUAUAGCCUAUCAUACUCCCUGCUUUUCUCUUUUUCAUACCCUCCAGAGGCAUCCCAGUAGUGUCUCUGAUUGGCACUACGAAUUGGUACAGCCUCUAGUUAAAAUUAUUGAAGAGAUAUGGGUUUCAAGUAACAAAAGAAAAUUAUAGGGACAUAGAUCGGUUAGAUGUCAAACUUGAGCCAGGCGUAUCAAAUUUCCCGGUGAUACCAGACUCCAUGAUUCCAAAUUCAGUUGUAUGUAGUGCGACAUCUGCAACAUCUGCACAAAUAACGUGACUCUACUUCAAAUAAAAAAAUCAAUCUACUUCAAAUUUAAUCAUUUGUUCUACAGUGCAUCACCGCAGCUGUAUGCAAAUAAUUCUUUGCAUGCAAAAUCAUUGGGCUACAUGGGAAAAAUAAUAAAACAUACCAGUAAAUGUGAAAUUUAAUCUUCCCUCCAUUAUCAUACCAUCCAGGAAGACCUCAUUCACACCUGCGAUGGUUUUUGUAAUUCAAUUGAAAAAUGUAAAAUGACAGAGACGAUACGUAAAAUCAUAAACCACAACACAUAUACCAAAUGCCAACAAACCUGAUUCAGACGGGUUACUUGGAUCCCAAGAAGCACGUUUUAAUCUUGUAUAAGCUGGGUUCCUACUAAGCCAAUCCACACCCAAAUCAUCUAGUUCACAUGCACACAAAUUUUAUUAUUUCGUAAUAACCAAGAGUCAUGCGUGACAAUAUGAAGUUCAGUUACUUCGUACCAGUCAAUGGUGAUGCAUCUGUUUGUGCAUUCCUGUCGAUGCCUUCCUCUGGAGGACGCGCUGGAGGUUGAAGCUGUCCAUUGUUUGAGUGUGUGCCCGCUUUCUUGCGAUUAUAAUUAUCCUUUCUCUUUGCAUUCAGCUGUGCCUUUUUCUCCACUGGUAUAUUUGCAUAUCGUUCCCUAGCUUUCUGUCACUUCCGUUCAGCCUCAUCAAUAUCAUCAGCUUCGUUCAAAAGAAAAAAAUGGAAGAGGUAACAUUACGAUCUAUAAAAUACAUUGUUUAGGUUUACAUUGGACCAAUGAUGCCGUACCUAGCCCAGCUCUCUUAACACCACGACGAGAACCAUUGGUGCGUGUGUUCGUGACAUCUCCAAGUGGAAUUCGACUAUCCAUGUGAACAGAUGUGAUGACAAAAACCACCAAUUUUGUGAGAUGACGAUCAUACGAUGUUUGUGGACCUAUUGAUUAGAUCAUACACAAAAUCAUAUACGUAAGAUCACAGAAGAUAAGAACCGUAUGAUGAUGCAUGCAGUUUGGCUACCAUGCGGUACCUGUAGUUCAUUAGACGGUGACUGGCCGAGGAUGUAGAAGAGAGACGUCGGUGUUGCAUGUAUAUCAUGUACGCGCAGCACCAAGAAAACAAAACGAAUGAAUAGAGUGGCGGCAACAAACGAUCAGUGUUUACCGAAGCUGUUUUAAGUUACUGCGACGCCGAUGGCGACGCAGUGGGUUCUUGGCAGCAUAUUGGGAUACCAACAUUGGGAGCUGUCAAUGUGCAAAGAAGGCACAUAUACACCAGAACACAAGGAAAGUAUACUAAUCAAAAGAAGGCACACGAAUCCCAUCCAUAAGGAAAGUACAACAUGAUUGUGGGAGACAGUCACGGCAUGGCACAUAAGGAAAGUAACUGCCAACCAACAUGUUUGAAUUUUCGCGGUGUGGCGGCCUGGUGGGUGGCUACGCGCGGGUACCCGGCGCGUGCGUGGUGAAUUUUUUUUUUUUUGAUAUUUUGGCGGUAUCAUUUUCUAUCGAUCAAUUUUUAGGUUCGGAGGCUCUUUCGUCACAUCUCCAAUCCUGACAGAUGGACCCCUUGUGAUGGGUACGGGGAUCUAAAUCUGGGUGGGAAUUGUUUUCAAUUCUCUCGCUCUUUGUAGUAUAGAUUAGUGCGCUUCUAUUGGAUUAUAGAUAUUUAGGCUAAUACCUCCUGGAGCAGAGAUCCUAUAUAACUUCCGGAAAUAGCUCUCUUCGGCAACUUCGAUGGUUCAAGAUUCGAAUGGUUAAGGGGUGUUUGGAUAAGAGGCACUAAACUUUAGGAGGGUCACAUCGGAUGUUCGGAUGCUAAUUAGGAGGACUAAACAUGAGCUAAUUAUAAAACUAACUGCAGAACCCCUAUACUAAUUCGCGAAACGAAUCUAUUAAGCCUAAUUAAUCCAUCAUUAGCAAAUGGUUACUGUAGCACCACAUUAAGCGUAAUUAAUCCAUCAUUAGCAAAUGGUUACUGUAGCACCACAUUGUCAAAUCAUGGACUAAUUAGGCUUAAUAGAUUCGUCUCCCGAAUUAAACUCCAUCUGUGCAAUUAGUUUUGUAAUUAGACUAUAUGUAAUACUCCUAACUAGUAUAUAAAUAUCCGAUAUGAUAGGUACUAAAGUUUAGGAGGGUGUAUCCAAGCACCCCCUAAACACCCCCUAAGAUGUCUGCGUGUGCGGGCCGGUGGGAAUAGCAGAGCAGCGGGAGUCCAUGUCCUCGGGUUUAUGUGGCAACAUGCGGUUGGGGUAAAUGGGUUGGGGAAGUUAAGUUUGAAUUCUACAUUGAAACGCAUUUAUCACCGAAGCAGCUUGUCGUUAGAAUUAAUGUCACAAAAUUAGUUCCGGUGUGACUAUUUUUUAGUGAUUAAGAAAUUCAACAUUUCUAAUAAACCAUUUCAACAUUUUAGAUAAACUGUUUCAGCAUUUUAUAGAAAAUGUUGAACUAGUGUUUGUAAAAUGUUGAACUAGGUUCAAAAAAUUUGUUGAUUAUAGUGUUUCAAAUGUUGACUAUACAAGUCCAAUAUCCUUAAUAUAUUAGCUCGAGAUUUUGACGGUACUACAUUGACUUCUUUAUGUAAAAUGUUGAAAUGUGCCUUUUGAAAUGUUGAAAAUGAUUUACUAAAAUGUUGAAUGCACAAAUCCAUACGUAUGAGAUAAAAAAUAAGAAAAGAAAGCUCAUCUGAGACUCCGAGAGGGUCUGCAUUAUAUUGUACUAAUGUCUCAAACCUCGCCCGAGAUGAUAGGAUUUAGUGUACUUGCAACAUGAGCGGCUUAGAUCCUAGUUGGGCCAGCUAGGCCUUAAAGAUGAUUAGCUAAACCUAUUGGAGCGGAAAACCUAUCAAUCUUCCCCCCCAAAGUAAAAACUUAUCCACCUUCCGAUGUAUAAGAUUUGUACGAGCCUUCUGAGUCGUCCGAUCUGCUGCUCCUUCUCCCCCUCCAUCACACACUUGCUCGUGCCGCCGGCUUUGCUUCUGCGCCAAGCUUGCUCGAGCUGCCGGAGCCCCACCGCCCACCUCUUCUGCUUAGGGUUUCGGGGGUGGGGGUUGGGUUCUCCAGCGUCUACACGCUUAGAAGGAAGCUCGGUCCAGCCAGUUUGCCUGGCGGUGGUGGCGGGUGAGACGGCAGCGGGGUCGGCGGCCGGCCGGAGCGGCGGCAAGACAUUCUGAUGGGUGGGGUUGGCGGCGAGGGUGGUGACUUGCCUUGCUUAGCAGUGAGCGGAGUCAGGAUGGCAGAAGCAGGAGGUGGGCGGCACGAUGAGGCGGUGGCAACCGGGAAGGGAGGGUGUGGUGGUGCAGGCGUGGCGCCAGGAGGCACCAAUAGCUGCACGGGAGGCAGCAGGUAGGGGCAGUGGAAGGGCUCGCCGACCACUAGCGGAGGAGAAGAAGAAGAAGAUGUGGUUAUGGGCUAAUGGGUCGUGUGACGAAUUGCUUAAGCAUCUUCCGGAAGCUGUAUAGGGACGCCCCUACUAGAGGGUCCAAUUUGGCUGAGAAGAUCCUAUCUAUCUUCCCCAUGAAACUUUCUUAUACAUCUUCCGCUUUAAGAUUGGUGUUCAAACCUUAGAUGGUAUAGAUCCACGGGUGUCGCAAGCGAGCAGACCCAAGCAAAGCUUGGUGUGCAGGAAGUAACGUGUUCGCUUUACACGUGGUGCUUUAAAUUUGGAGGAAUAAGUAAAGGCAUAUUUUUUUAGCUUCCUAACAGCUUCUCAGUGUGAAAAACUAGAAGUUCAAACAAACAAUGAACUUCUCAUGUAGCUUCCGAAAAGCUGUAAGUCUAGAAAAAUUAAGUUUAUAUGAAAAGCUGGAAAGCUUGGUUUUAUGAGAUUUUUAUAGCUUUUGGGCUCAAAAUGGUAACCCAUCCGUCACUAAUUGAGCGUCAUAAACCACGAUGAGUGAUUUUCCUUAUAUUUGCGCAUCGCUAAAUCUAUGACACCUAAGAAAUGUCCACACAAACGUCAUAAAUUAGCUCUUAUAGUUUUGCCACAAUGGACAAGAAUCUGAUGUGGCAUCCAAUGUAGCAUGAGCAUGGUGACAAAUUGUUUCGUCAUAAAAUGAUUUUGACCUAUUUGUUGUUGGGUCGAGCUCAAGUUUGUUCCGAUAGGCCAAUGUUGUUUAGAUAACCAAAAAAUUGUUCAGAUAGGCCUAUUUGUUGUUCGAUUAGUGACCCAAAAUUUGUUCACAUUGCUUUCGGCCCUUUUUUUACUGAUUUAUGAAUAAAAUACAUUUUUAGCACUACAAUAAGCUCCAAGGUGACCUUCCUCAAGAUCUGCCUCUCCGUCGUCUGCCCAUCGUGUGCCUCUUUCAAUUUUUCCUCACAUCCUUGCAUCUCUUUUAGCUUUCAACUUCGUGUUCAUCAGCUGCAAGGUGGUCUCCCCAUGGUAUCGCUUCACCUUUUUCAGCUCACCGGCAGUUUCAUCAAGCUCCCUCAUAGCAUAACCACAUCCUUCUUGCCAGAUACUUGCAUCCUCUUCAGCUUUCACCUUCCUCUUCAUCAGCUUCACUAGAAUACCUUUAUUCCUAACAUCCCAUUCAAGAUCAACCCACUUACAUGCCUCGCAUUUCUCCGCUUCCUCCUAUAGACACCAAUUACGUUUACCUUUAGUCCUAGCAUCCCAAGAGCUAUGAUAAUUGAAACAAUUUGUUGUUUACCUUGCAGUAGCAUACAAAACGGCACCAAGGGUUGUCAAAUAUCCAAUCAUACUUUACAUGGACAGCCAUCCCGUGCUUGCACACAUCUUCAUGAUCCACCACGGUAAUGUCACAAUCAGGUGACCCUGUUGUGAAGCUAUCAAUGACACCAGGUGACCGUGGAAGCUAGUAAAAUAGAAGAACCUAUCAAUUCAUACUACCAAUCUAAAUCAAAACCUAAUUGCAUCAUGAAAUUGAAAUGUAGUUCCUUCAACCAAGACCCCAAUAGCACAAACCGUAGUCCCAAGAGGAUGAUGGGGACAAGAAGCCCCUACAAUUCGAACUGAGAGCUCACCUGAUCAGAGUUCGUCUCUUUCUCCAUUCUGGUUUGAUGCACUAUUCCCACCGUGGGCCGCCACACUAUUGAGACUUAGAUAUGGGCGCUGAUUUUUGUGGGGAGGGAGGAUUUUCUCGCACAAGCAUGCCGAUUUUUCAUGGAAGCGCGCGCUUUUCUCACGCUAACAAUCAAAAUAUAUUACUGCAACUCACCUUUUACUUACAUGUGGCACUUAGGUAGGCAUGACUUAUCUAAUGUAGAAAUAUUUUAAAGAUGCAAAUUGUAAAUUGUCUAUAGUGUACCUCUUGACUCCAGACUUCCUAAUCAAUCGGUGACGGGUUCGACCCAAGGGAGGAGCAUGUUUUCCUCUUAUUUUCCCUCCCUUUUUUAUCAGCCUAGACAUACAUGUGGGAUCCUGAUUGAUUUACAAUAUUUUUGCAGAACUUAUAUCGUCACAAAACCACCAUGUAACACUGAGUGGCGUUUUCUAUUUGGCUUCGAUGGCACCUUUUAUGAUAUUUUGUAACUUUGUCACUAAAUUUGCUCGAAUGCAAAAUUUUAUGACGUUUUCAGCCAAAUUUAUGAUGUUUUGACAUAUGCCAUAAAAUUUUCAUCAUUGAUCGGAACAUUCUUGUAGUGUGCACUUAUUUCUUAAAUAGUUUGUCCAUUUUCGGAACCGUUUGAACUAUGAUGUUGUUUAGAAUUAAUACAACAAAACAAGAUCCAAUAUGAAUAUAUUUUUUCUAGUUUUUCUAAAUAUUCAACAUUUCUGACAAACUAUUUCAACAUUUUGAUUAUGUUAUUUCAACAUUUACAUGAAAAAUAUUGAGAUAGCUUUUGCAAAAUGUUGAACUAGCCUUAAAGAAUUGUUGGGCCUAGUAUUUUUAAAUGUUGACCAGUAAUUAUAUACUAGUCCAUUUUUAUAUUAUUUUAAGAUUUUUAUAAAAUGUUGAACUAUACUUUCGUAUUGUUGAACACAGUUUUCAAAAGGUAUUGAAUUUUAAUUAUUCUAAAUGUUGAAAGCGGAAAAUUGUAAACAUAGGAGUUAUUUACAGAGAUCAAGAAUAGGAUAAGAUAAAGGAAAAGGAGAUGUUGGCUGGCCCAGUAUGCUAUAUCAACAUUUUCGAUAUACUAUUUCAAUAUUUUAUAUACACUAUUAUCAACAUUAUUAUAUAAAAUGUUGAACUAGCUUAUUUAAAUCUUCAAUUAAAUUUGAAGAAAUGUUGAAUCUAAAACUUCAAAAUGUUGAAUAUAGUUGCUCUAACGUUUACUCAUGUUUUUUUAAAGAAAGUAAGUACCACCGGUUUUAACUAUACAAAGAGCGAGGGAUAAGCGAACUGAGUGUAGCUCAACUGGCAAGAUUUCUUACGGUGGAACCUGCCAACUUGGGUUCAAGUUCUUAACUUGGCAUUGGUGCUUACAUUUUCUUGAAUUUAUUUCAGGAUUUAAUCGGCGCUAUUUUUUCAGUGGUAGACGAUGUGCCCAUCGACAACGAGGUGCCAGUGGUGACUUUAUCAAUCUAGAGGAUUUGCUAGCUCAGUCAGUGAUAGGCGACAUGCCCGUCAACAACGAGGUGCUAGUGGUGAUUUUGUCAAUAUCAAGUGCUCAUAGAGGUAGGGUAGUGUGUGUAUGUUCGUAAGGGUGAGUAUGUGUAUGUGAGCACUAGAUUGGAAUAAAAAAGAAAAAAAUUGCUGCCCUAGCACGUGAUGAUGGGUUCAGCCUUUAGGUAUUAGGAAACGAACUUAUGCGGGGUGCAUUUUGAGGGUGUUUGGAUACAAGGUGCUAAACUUUAGAAAUGUCAUAUCAGAUGUUCGGAUGCUAAUUAGGAGGACUAAACAUGAGCUAAUUAUAAAACUAACUGCAGAACCCCUAUACUAAUUCGCGAAACGAAUCUAUUAAGCCUAAUUAAUCCAUCAUUAGCAAAUGGUUACUGUAGCACCACAUUAUCAAAUCAUGGACUAAUUAGAUUUAAUAGAUUCGUCUCGCGAAUUAGACUCAAUCUAUGCAAUUAGUUUUAUAAUUAGACUAUAUUUAAUACUCCUAAUUAGUAUCAAAAUCUGAUAUGACAGGUAUUAAACUUGUGGUUGUAUCCAAAACACCCCCUUUGCUCCUCGCCGUGCUGCUGUGUGCCUGUGUCGGACUACACGCUAGUACACUACAGCAACGCUGCGCACGGUGGAAAAAGUAAAAGGCUCCGGAAUGUUUUUGUGCUUCAUGGGCCGUUCUGGGCUUGCAACGUAUGUUCUUUGGGCUGCUGCUGGAUCAAAGACGUACUUUACUUACGUAGCAGCCGGGCGAGGUGUCGUGACCCCCCCGGGCGGCGAACGGCGACGCGUCGGGCGGCGAGGGGCAACGGCGGCGCGUCGGGCGGCGAGGGGCAACGGCGGCGCGUCGGGCGGGCGUUCGGCAGGUGGAAGGCGACGCAUCCUGCCUUGGGUGAUCGUGCUUCUGUUGCCGCGCAUCCACAGAGGGUAGUGGGCGGUCCGCCGGUGCCAGGUGAGUUGAUUGCCCUGCCCAGUUUGGGACUAGCUUUCAACUGAGGAUUCGAUGUGAUCGAUUGUCCUGUUGGGGGAUUUCUCUCUCGGUACAGGAUUCGAUUAGAGGGGCAUGUAGGUAAUCACCGGCUGAGAAAGAUUGGAAUUUGAAACCCGGUGCCUGAUUUGGGAUUUAUACAUUUCUAAUUUGUGAUGGGGAGUGUUUCGUUGUCGUUCGCGGCGAGCGGCGGCGGUCCAAUGCGCCCAGGCGGAGGAACCCCAAGGAAGCGGCGGCGGCAGUGGCGACUCCGCAGCUCCCGUGAAGUCCCACGCCCCUUGUGCCUCCCGCAUCCCAUCCGCCCCCUCCCAUCGCCUCGUGCGCUCGUGUCUCGCGGCGACACGUCCGCUGCGUCAUCGCCGCCGGAUACUUCCUCUGUCCGCGCUCACCGUCCUCGCUGGCUGGUUUCUAUCCAUUUUUUAAAGAAAGAAAAUACAGUAGUCGGAAGUUGCUGUUCGCUGCUGCUGUGGUGAAAUGGCUCCGAUUGUGGCUGCUCUGGUGGGUGGGUGGAGUGGCUCUCACUUGUCUGAUUGGAAAAACGUUUGCCUCUUCCAUUCUUCUCCGUCCACCGCACAGGCGCACACCACCGCCGCCGCCUCUGCCCUGUCGGCCGCCUCCUCGCCCACCGACCCCGCCGGCUGCCCACCACUCUCGGCCCCCUGCGCCACCGCCGUCCUCCGCCUCCCCGCACUCGCGGGCCCCCUCGCCCGCGCCGCCAUCACCCUUCGCCUCCCCUGAGCUCGCGGGCCCCCUCGCCCGCACCGCCGUCGCCCUCCGCCUCCCCUGAGCUCGCAGGCCCCAUUGCUCGCGCCGCCAUCGACUCCGCCCCCAGCUCCCUGCGCUUGCGGUGGCCUCGCCCACGCCGCCGCCGUCUCUCUACGCCCGCUGGCUGCGUCACCGUGGCCUCCAUCCUCUCCUCCCUCCUCCCACCGGCGCCCACAGCCCCACCGCAGCCGCCUCUGCCUCCGCCUCCCACCUUCCAAUCCUGCAGGCCCAGGCAGCUGCGACCUCCACCUCCACCGCGGGGCCCCCGAGGGCAAGGGUAGGAAACGACGGGGAGGAGCCACGGGGAGCCGGUUUUUUGGGCUUCUCCUCCGUCGAAUGGCUCUAGAGAGCGCGUUCUGAGGAGCUUCCGUCCCGAAGCCAUUUUGGUGGUCACCGUUUGGCAGGGCUUCUACAGAAGCCGCUCGCGGAGCCGCGGCAAAAGCCCUGCCAAAGGGGGCCAUAAUUCAGACACCCAGCUUUAAGGUUCCCUGUUGAUUGUCUACAUAAUUUCCAUAAAAAGGUUCAAACCAUCUUGUUUAGUACUCAAACCUGCAAUUCAGAGCUUAGUUCAAUUUAUGAAUGGAAACCUGCAAUUUAGAGCUUAGUACAAGUUAUGAGUGGAGAUUGAGGCCAUCUUUUGGUUGGAUUUGAAGGGAAAGAUUUGGAGGAGAACCAGUGUUAAUGUAGCGAGAGGAAUGUGUGCAUUUUCACUUGUACAUUUCUUGUGGGAGACUGCACAAUUGCAGUGCUCCCUUGCCAAAUUUAUGGUUGUAUCUUCUCUUGUGUCAGCAAUUGCUUGGGUCAACUACAAUCUGUUAGACUUGCUUAGUCAUUGGAUAGGUAGCUAGGAUUGCGUAUUUGUUAUUCUUGAUUGACGGUUUUGUUUACCAUUCUUUCUGAACAAGAGGCCAUUCAAUUUGUUUCUGUGCAACUCUUCUCAUAUCAUAGAGCGAUGUCACAAGUUAUGACUUUAGAGCUUAGUAAAAUUUAUGAAUGGAAAAUUGGAAAUUGAGGCCAUCUUUUGGUUGGAUUUGAAGGGAAACAUUUGGAGGAGAACCAAUGUUAAUGUAGCGAGAGGCAUGCAUGCAUUUUUACAUGUACAUUUUCUUGUGGGCGACUGCACAUUUGCAAUGCUCCCUUGCCAAAUUUAUGGUCGUAUCUUCUCUUGUGUCAGCAAUUGCUUAGGUCAGCUAUAAUAUACUAGACUUGCUUAGUCAUUGGAUAGGUGGUUAGGAUUAUGUAUUCAUUAUUCCUGAUCAACAGUUUGGUUUACCAUUCUUUUUGAACAAGUGAUUAUCCGAUUUUGUUUCUGUGCAACUCUUAUCAUGUUAUAGAGUGAUGUCACAAGUUAUGACUUCAUCUGUUUGCCUAAUUUCAUUUCUCUCAGGCACUAUCCCUUGCUAAUUGGAUGCUGUAUACAGAUCAAGUACGUUGGAUUUUGCUAUGGCAGCUGAGGAAGAUGUCAAGCAGAGGCAGAUCAUUGAAAAUCGUGCGAGAAAUAUAAGCCACAAUGUCCGGUGCACUGAGUGUGGUAGCCAAUCAAUUGAAGAUUCACAGGCUGAUGUUGCUAUUCUGCUUAGAAAGGUACUAACCUUUUUUACCCUUCUGCUUAGAAAGGUGCUAACCCUUUUUACCCUUGAAUGACUUGUUUGCUAGAUUCAUGGUAAUAGGGUUAUUUUUGGUCAGUCUCUAACUGAAUAAGUCAGAUUUCUGAUAUUAUUAUGUGUUCCUUUCUGUUGUUUCAUUGCAACUUUUUAUAUCUCUGGAGCAAAGUAAGAAUUACAAAAACUUGGAUAUUGAAAUGUCUUAGCUUUCACACUGUCAAUUAUACCUCAAACUCAAAGCAGCUGUAUUGCUUGGUACAUCUCUUAUAUCCAUACCUUGAAUAACUUAGGUUAACCUCUUGGUGGCUAAAGCACUGUUCUUAAAUAAGCUUUUUUAAGUUGUUCUGUAACUUAAUUCAUCAGGUUAUGAUGUUGUCAUGUGUUUGUUUCUGAUGUUUUGGUGCAUCAACCAUUCAGUUAUUGACCUAGUGCAGGUAAGACUUGUUGGAAAUUGGAAUAAUGUAGGUAUUAGACUCUCGGUUUGUAAAAAUGGAAUCUGUUUUGGCACAAUCAUUUGGUUUAAAAUAUAUUUCAUAUAAUGUUUACUGGCUUUCAGAGAUGCUCAAACUUUGAAAAAUUUUAGAUAUCUUAAGAUGAUGACAAAAACAUCUCAUUGCAUUUUAGACAGAGAUAUCUAUUACAUGUCUGGAAACAGUUUGUAUUCCUUGAUAUGUGAAGGGUCUGUUGACUCUUGCUUUCGAAAAUGUUAGUGCUUAGAUUUUGAGGUUCUAUUUAGAACUAAACUUUUUAAAACUUGGUUUGAAACUUGAACGUUCUCUAGCUAGUGGUAACGGAUGUUAAGCUUUGUGUUUCUUUUCUUCCUCUGCUAUAUUUGUAUAUAUAUAUUGUUACACAACCAUGCACAGUAGGUGAAAUGUCUGGCAACUAGGAGAAAACAACAAUCAAUAGUUAUGCUAAUUUAACAGCAUCACUUUUUCACUGUAGCUUAAUUGAUAUUUUUGGUUAGACAUUGACGAUAUGGCAUUUUGCAGCUCAUUCGUGAUGAAAUAAAAGCGGGAAAGAGUGAUAAAGAGAUCUACAAGAAACUAGAGGACGAGUAUGGAGAGACGGUCCUGUAUGCCCCUAAAUUUGAUCUUCAGACUGCUGGGAUAUGGCUUUCACCUGUAAGCCCUAAUGAGAAUCUAGAUUUUGUUCAUGUUUCCAUUUGUCUGACCUAACUGUUGUAAUGGCAUGUGCUACUCCUUAAGAGCUACUGAGCUAGUGACUCACCAAAACCCCUGAAAUCUGCUAAUCUGAAUCUGAGACGAAGCAUUUGGUCACCUGAUUGUUUCCAUCUGUGCAGAUAAUUGUGGGAGGUAUAGCAGCUGGCAUCUGGGCUUACCAAAAGCACAGGCAAAGGACAAAUGUUCACAUUAUGGCUCUGAACCUGGUCCGAGGGGUUCCGCUGACUCCAAGGGAGAAGGAGACCAUGCUAGACAUCCUUACACCUCCACCGCCUCCAAGAAAGUGGUGGUGGCCAGGCAAAUGAAGUAGUGUUCAUGCACCUAUCCUGCAUUUUGAAGUACUCGUUUUCCCAUGGUAGCAGCAUAGAAAUGAUCAGGAUGCAGAUUUUAGCUUGGAGUGUGAAUGCAUAUAUGCGACCUUUGAUCACGAAUUUCAGUUUAGCCAAACAUUUGCAAUGUGUACUCUGUACUCCAUGGAUCUAGCAGGAUUUGCUGCGUUACUGAAGCCACGCAUUUUUAGAAGAUAGGGAGAAGAUGACAGCAGUCGGCUGUUGUCUGUACUUGCUGCUGCCUGCUGCUUUUGUGAGCAGGAUCUGAAGCCUGUUGAUGAGUUAACAAGAUUAUCACUCAUUCCACUAUAUAGCCAAAACAGCAAGAUUACCACGUUUCACUGUCUUCUACCCUUUUUAUUUCCUGAUAAUGCGUGCACCUACAGUAUUCCCCUAUCUACUGAAUCCCUUUGCGUUUUUCUUCUACAUUGUCAUUUUCUCAUGCGUUUUUUAGAGCUAUUUUCUCAUGUGUUACUAAGACAACAAAUCACAUGUCAGUUUACUGCCAUGCGGCCAUGCCUAUGAGACCAAUGUUACCACUGGCUGCUGCUUUCAUUGACAAGCUUUAUGCCCCACUUGACGUCGACGCAGUGCCGGAUGUAGGGCGUCACCUUGUCCAGCUCCACGUCCCUCCCCGCCGCGCAGUCGUACGCCGACGGCGAGUGGAAGCACGGCUCGACGGAGAUGGCCCGCGGGCAUGGUUCCCGUGGGUCCAGCCCCUCCGUCCAGUCGUCGGCCCACAUGGGCGCUCUGGUCAUGACCCAGGGCCGCAGCCCGGCGAGCCCCUGCGCCACGUACCCGAACGUCGAGUAGCCGCUGGUGACGAGCUCGUCGCACAUACUCAGCAGGACCAUCUCGCUCAGCGCCCGCAUGUCGUGCGCCGCGUUGUGCCACCGCUGCCGCCCCUCGUGGCUUGGCUGGUGCACGCCGCCGCCGUACUCGUCCCUGAGCCGCUCGUAGUACCACGAGCUCAGCGACGUCACCAGGACGGCGGUGUCCGAGGACGACGUGCCGUUGGCCGCGACCGUCGUCGUCUCCUGGAGGAGCCCCUCGCCGCGGACGCACGAGAGGAGCUGAUCCAGAACGGCCUGGGGCGGCUGGUUCUUCUGGAACACCCUGAUCUGCACGCCGACGCGCCGGGCGGCGCCGGCGAGAUUUGACCAGUAGUAUCUCGUGACGGCGUGCCAGACGGGGUUCGCCGGGUGGAAGAGGUAGUGGCCGAGGUGGUAGAACACGGCGUCCUUCUCCGGGAACAUGGCCUCGAGCUCGCCGCGGAACGGCGGCGUGAGGAAGAGCCCCGGCACGAUGUAGUUGUCCGUCCACAAGAAGAGCCACGGCACCUCGCCGAGGAGCCUCUGGUGCGCGCCGCAGAAGAAGAGACUGUCGUGGAAGCCGUACCUGCCGGCGAGGUGGACGUACAGGUACGUCGGCGGCCGCGGCGCCGACCACGACACGUUCCCGUCGGCGGACACGCUGACGGGGCCGCCGCUCUGCAGCAUGUUGCCGAGGCUCUGCUUGGAGCCGCCCAGGUAGCCCUGUAGGCUCCUGAGCGGCGAGAACCAGCCGGCGCCGGCGAGCUGCAGCAGCCACGUCGUCCCCGGGAAGGGCUCGCAGAAGAGCUCGCCGGCGUCCCUGCCGCCGUCAACGAGGAGGACGCGCUCGGUGAGCACCGCGUAGAGGAAGGACGACGUGAUGGCGAGCAUGCGGUUGCCGAGGCCGCGGUAGCUGAUGUACACGAGGUAGCGGCAGCCGUCGUCGCCGCCGACGCCCUCGCCGGAAUCGAGCCGCCGGACCGCGUUCUCAUACGUCGUCGUGCCAGGGCCGCAUCGCUUCUGGAGCGCUUCUUGCUUCCGGAGCUUGGCGAUGAGGUAGGGAGACGGCUUGUGCGACGACUUCUUGUGGUAACCGGCGAACUCGUAGCGGCUCCGGCAUGACUCGAAGCUGAAGUCAGCGGUAAGAAGGCCGUCGAGGAGAUGGUCGGCGGUGAUGUUUGACGGAGGAGGUUCCCAAUCUGUUUCAUCACACGUACAGAAAAAAUAGAAAGUAUAAGCUUUAUUCCAGUAUAAAAUUUGAGGGAUUAAUUAACUAGCUUGAAUUGGCGAUUGUACUGAUCAUCAAAGAAAUUUUCUAAUUUGCAUGAGAAAUGAACUAACCUCAGUUGAAUUAUGCAAAAUUCUUCCUUGCAUUGUAAACAUGUGUUGCAGUGAGGGGUGUUUUCGUUCCUUAAUAAUCCCUCCGUUUCAAAUUGUAAGGCAGUUUGAGUUUUCUAGAUAUAUAGUUUUUCCUAUGUUUCUAGACAUAAUAUAUAUCUAUAUGCAUAGCAAAACGUAUAAAUCUAGUAAAAUCAAAAUGACCUGCAAUUUGAAAUGGAUGAAGUACUAUUUAUUAUAGUUAUUGCGUCAUGGAUACCGCGUGAACUCUGAAAUUUUUGUGGAUUUGUGUGGCUUGUCUUCUAAAGAUGGUCAGCCCCUAUGGUAUAUGGAAAUAGUAGCUUUGAAUUUGUUUUGAAUUUAUGAUGAAAUGAUAAUAAUUUAUCAACAAGUGAGAGAUGCAAACAAAACUGAAUGAAUGCAUGUGAAGUUGUGAACAAAAAUAAAUGAAUGACAUCAUUCCCUGUAAAUAUGCACAACGUGCUGUUUUUGUGGUGCUUGGUACAAAUGUUUCGUCGGGAGAUCCGGAUCUGGCCAGAGCAGUAGCAUUUUUUUUUUUUUGCCAAAUGGAUGAAUGCGUUUUUUUCCAGCCGCCUGUAGUGUAGGUGGUGUAAAAAUAAUGGCAUGUUCGCUGAUUAAAUGGUCAAACAAAGCCAUCAUAGGAUUUGGAAUUUUGGAGGCAUAUUGGACAUUACACAUCAUAUUGAAGAUAGACAUCCUGAAAAGAUGCCAAAUAAAGUGUACUUCCUCAAGAUCAGAGUCAUAGACUUGACGACAGUGGUCUAUUCUAACUGCUCGCUAGAUCAAGUAGCAGUUUAUCAUACUCACUUGUCGACCUGUUGCCCAUCCUAAGCAUAGCCAAGACCACAGUGUCGUAUCCUUUUAUUUCACUAGCCAAGAUAGCAGCAUGUUCUCUAUCCAAACAGUGUGAUCGAUUAUAAUGACUAUUACUAUUACGUAAUGAAAUGUGUUAUUCAUAUCAGCUUUAUUCUGAAUCCAAUAUAUUCAUCAGCUUUUGUCGACAUUAAGACAUCUCGAUAGUCAGUAAGUGUAGCAAGUGUGACGUCCUUAUUAGCAUUGCCUUUUGAUGUAUAACACUACAUUGCCGCACUGGCCAUCUUUAGUAUCGUCUGCAUACAAUUUGCGGUCAUAUCUUGCAUCACUGCAUCCAGAAAAGAGGUCAUUUCUACAUCUUAUAUUCCUGAUUUUCAGCAAGCCAACAUAAACGUCCUGUCACUGCCGUGCACCCUACCCUCUCAUCAGGCCUUGCUCCGCCUGGCCAUGUCUCUAGGUUGUAGCCUGUAGUAAACUCUAAUAUACUAUUCCUUCCAUUUUUAUUUAUAAGGUACACACGCAUAUCAAAAUUCAAACAUUGCAAUCUUUGACGACUAUUAAUUUUUUAUUUUUGUAAUGUAAAUUUUAUAUGGUUGGAUUCGUAAUCAAAUAUACUCUACAGUAACUAUAAAUUUAUAACCAUAAAUAAUAUAAUAUAAAAUAGAUGAAUGGUCUUAUAAAGAUAAAUGGAGGGAGUAUCUGCUAUCUCACAAUCUUGCAAUUUUGUAGAAUUUUACUUCAUCCUAUCAUAAAUAUAAGCCCACUGGCUAGUACAUCGAUAUGGCUCCAAUGUAACACUUUCAUCAAUAACAUUUGUAUAUAGUAUAUUAAUUGAAAAAAAGGUAUGUUCCACGAUAAGUCUAGAAGAAACACCUAAACUUCAUUUUGUCAAUAUGUUAUAUUUUAGCUAUUAAUAGUGAAAUUUUAAAAAAUGUUUUACAACAAACCUGUUAUACAUGUAGGAUUAGAUUAUUUAUACUUUGUCAUCGUACUUUUUUUUAUGUGGAAGGUACAUGAUGGAUCUGAAAGUUGCUACCUACAGAAUCGGAAAACACAACUUGUUCAGACUCUCUCUCACAAGAAAAAACACCUGUUCACAGUCUGUUCUCUGCACAUCAUCUGCCAUUUUAAUGCAUAUAUCACUACCGGUUCCACAUCAGGAGCCACUAAAGGGAAGAACUGACUGAUAUGGGUUCAUCACAAUCAUCCCAAGAAACCGGCUAUCAUACCACAGUCACUACUUCUCAAAAGAACGAUCGUGAUGGUCACAGUAUGUUUGUGUUCUGACUGUGAUAAUUAAGACUUGGUAAAUUAAGUGGCAUUAUUCUUCUCUUCCCUGACCACUAUAGAGUCCGAGUAGCAACUAGCUAGAUAGUGCGCAGGUCUCGCAUCGGACGUGGGGCGCCAAUCGACACGUGUUCAUAGAAAAUCCAAGUGAGAAUACAUGCAUGCAGGGGACGACCACGGUUGACCCAACGUGCGUGUGCGUGUCCUCCGGGCGGGAGUCCCGCCGCUGCCGACGUGUUCGUCGGAGGGGACGACGACGGGCACAGCACGCAUGCACGCAGCCGCCGGCUGGCCUUACAGCAGAGCUUAUCAAAAGUAUGUCGACACCGCUCGACGGACCUGGAGAUAUUCUGGGUAGCAAAGCAGGGUGGUUUUGUCUCGUAGCCAUCAGUAGACUCGCAUAUAAUAGGCCAUACCCAUCUCAUGUUUUUUAUCUCAAAAAAAUAUAAUCUGUAUCUGUAAAGAAACGCAUGGAUAUGGGAUUGAAAUCGACAUGAUUUGUUGGCUGGCACGCGUACGUUUGGUUCGGUGACAUCGAGGAGGCCAGGAGGGGACGAUCGCAGAGCACUAUGUUACGUUGUUUGUAGCAACUGAGAAUAUACGAACCUCGCGGGUCGUCGGAGAACAAGGAGGCCGGCAUCUCGUCGGGCGCGCGGCCCCACCAGCCGCCGUCGGCGGUGAGGACGAUGACGGCGGUGGCCACGGCCGCCGCGACGCAGACGGCCGGCAGGGCCCUCCUCGCCGCGCAGCUCCUGGUCCUCGACGGCCACCACGGCAACCAACUCGCCGCGGCCAAGAUGGCUGCCGCCGCAUGUGAGCUCGAGGACGCCGCCGGCGACGAUGAUGAGGAGUUGGCCUGCUGCUGCUGCUGCUGCUGCAUGGUCGACGCUCGAUUGAUCGCUUCACCGGUUGGUUAAGUUCUCUCGCUCUGAGAGCAGUUGCAGCACGUACGCGGGCGCUGUGGUGGGUCACCUGGAUAUAUGACCCGGCCGGCCGGCCGGCCACGACUUGGCAGUUGCGCGGAAUUGGAGGCUUGGACCGAAGCUGUGGUAUCUAUAUACGGUAUAUACGGCGGGGGAUACGUCAGACAUGCGCGUACGUGUGGAGAAAAAGGCCGGCAACUUGCUAAAGCUCAAGACCAAAGAUAACCACAUGGGGGACCGGAUCACGAUCGCUGUGACGCUGGAUUAUUUCGUGCGAUUCCUGUGGUGGUGUGCUGCUGGUUUUGGCCGGUCGAAACGGCCCACUUCUCGUUCCUAGUUACCUAUAAUGCAGCUGCAGGCAGGAACGUAUGGAGUUUCGGAACAGAUGACUUUAGCUACAAAUGGCAUUCUUGUGUGCUAGCACAACUUGGAUAUGAAGAGAGGACACCUGGGAGAAGAAUGAUGUUUCUUUCAAAACCUCAAGGGCAUUCCAAACAUUUCUCAGUUCGGCCUGUAUAGUAUAGGCUGCCCAACAAAAAAAACCAGACUACCAAACACCAAGCUACAUACAUCAGGUAGCCUACCCAAGCAACAGCUUCUCAAGAGAAUCUGGAAUGAUACGUAUCUUUUUGCUAGUUUUCAACAUCUGAAAGCCGAUCCAAAGUCCAAACGCCCCUAAAUUAAAGGAUUUUCGAGCGUAUGGUACAGUGCACAAAGGGCGUGCAAGCUAAGCUAGUGAAGCCUCUUUUGCUCGCUCCGUCAGUGGUUGACUUUGCUUUUUGAAUUUGCCGUGUGUUAAUUAACUGCCAUGGCCACCAGGUAAAUGUUACCAUCGGCUGCUGCUUUCGUUGACAAGCUGUAUUCCCCAGCUGACGUCCACGCACCGCCUGAUGUACGGCCUCACCCUGUCCAGCUCCACGUCCCUCCCCGCCGCGCAGUCGUAGUACGACGGCGAGUGGAAGCACGGCUCGACGGAGAGCGCGCGCCGGCACGGCGGCUCCGGCGCGGCCUGGCCCUCCUUCCAUUCCUCCCACGGCGACGGCCUCGCCAUGACCCACGGCCGCCGCCCGGCUAGCCCCUGCGCGACGUACCCGAACGUGGAGAAGCCGCUGGUGACGAGCACGUCGCACGUGCUGAGCAGGUACAUCUCGCUCAGCGCCUUCACGUCGUGCGCCGCGUCGCCCCACCGCUGCUUGCCCUCCUGGCUCGGCUGGUGCACGCCGCCGCCGGCGACCCCGCCGCCGUACUCGGCCGCGAUCCGCUCGUAGUACCACGAGCUCAGCGACGUCACCAGGACGGCGUCGUCGUUGGAUGCUGCGAUCCCCGGGAGGAGCUUCUCGUUGCGGACGCAGGAGAGGAGCUGGUCCAGGACUAGCUGCGGCGGCUGCUUCUUGUCGAACACCCUGAUCUGGAUGCCGACGACGCGCCGGCCGGCGGCGCCGGCGAGGUUGGCGCGGUGGUAGUUCGUGACGGCGCGCCAGACGGCGUUGCUGGGGUGGAAGAGGUACCGGCCGAGGUGGUGGAACGCGGCGUCCUUCUCCGGGAACAUGGCUUCGAGCUCGCCGACGAACGGCGGCGUGAGGAACAGCCCCGGCACCAGGUAGCUGUCCGUCCUCAUGAGCAGCCACGGCACGCCACGGAGGAGCCGCUGGUGCGCGCCGCAGUAGAAGAGCUUGUCGUGGAAGCCAUAGCCGCCGGAAAGGUGUAGGUACACGUACGCCGGCGGCCGCCGCGGGGACGCCCAGGACACGUUCCCGUCGGCGGACACGACGACGGCGCCGCCGCUUUGGAGCAUGUUCCCCAGGCUCUCCUUUGAUUCCCCGCCGUAAUCGUCGAGGUUCCUGAGCGGUGAACGCUUGCCGGAGGCGCGCGGCAGCAGCCACGUGGCGCCCGGGAAGGGCUGGCAGAAGACGUCAGCCGCAUCCUGCUUGCCCCAGUGGACGAGGAGGACGCGCUCCGUCAGCACGGCGUAGAGGAAGGCCGACGCGACGGCGAUCAUCCGGUUGCCGAGGCCACGGAAGCUGAUGUUCACGAGGUAGCGGCAGUCACCGUCCUCGACGCCGGUGGCGGCGCCGUCGCUGGAUUGGAGCCGCCGGAGGGCAUUCUUGUAAGCGGGCGUGCCGGGGCCGCAGCGCUUCUGGAGCGCUUCUUGCUUCCGCAGCUUGGAGAGGAGGUAGGGUGAUGGCUUAUGCGACGAAUUCUUGUGGUAACUGCCGAACUCAUAACGGCUCCGGCAGGAACGGUAGCUGAACUCAGCAGUGAGAAGGCCGUCGAGGAGAUGGUCGGCGGUGAGGUUCACUGGAGAUAUGUCAUCCGAGUCAUAUAUAUAUUCAGCAAACAUAAAAGAAAAAUGAGAAAAAAGUAAUAAUAUUUACGAUAUCAAAUGCGUAUAUAAUUAGAUCCAUCAUUGUCAUGAUACCGGACUCGAUCAAUGAAAGUUUAGUCAUUGAAAUACAUUUUUAUAAUUUACUUAUUUGAUACGUUCUCUAUAAGUUUGACUAAACUUUGAAUUAUUUGACUUAGCGUAAAUAAAAUAACUUAUAUUUCAGGAGGGAGUAUUUCUCAAAUUACACACCGUGAUACUAUUUCAAUCAAUUUCUGCAAAAUUCAUUUGUAAUUCUUGUAUUUCGAACAUGCUAUUUAUGGUAAUAAACUAAUAAUGUGAUUCCUUAAAAAAUAGGCUCAACUACAUGUCUGCAUGGACUUCCUCAACUUAGGAAUUAUACACACUACUAGAUGAUAGUGGUCAAUCAUAAGUGCUCCAUGACCAAGAUAGCAACUUGCAUUGUCCUACUUGCCGGAGCUUGGCCGCUCACCCAAAGAUCAGUGCAUACCGGGGCUUCUCCACCCAUACAACAACGGUGCAAUGAGCCAACGACGACUAUUGCACUGAUCCACUCUGAAAUGUAUGCAUCAGCUUUUGUUGACCUUAAUUAAUAAGACAUCUCAUUACUGAACUCGAUCCGGACAUCAGAUCACCUGCUCCUGUAUGAUCUCUCCCGUCUUGCCACUUUUUACCAAGUGUGGAGUCCCUUAUCGUUAUCUUUGAUGUAACAUUACAUUAAUUCCCACCGCACUGACGGGCUCAAAUAUCAUCUUCUUCUCUACCUUUUGUAGUGUGAUCUUGCAUCGCUGCCAUCCACUAGCCAAUAUCGACCUCUAUCCGCUUGGAACAAUAUAGGCUCAAAGUGCAAUGGAAAGAUGAUCCAGCCUAGGCGAACUGAAAAGUCCAAGGUACAGAUUAGACUUUUUUUUUUAAAGAAAGAGUAGAGCCAUUCAGCCAUAGGCAUGCAUGGUCGCAAAGACUACGUCAUGGUUUUUAUAGACGUACGGAGGAGGAAGAGAACCAGAAACUCUGACAAAACAAGAGUGACGAUCAAUUAUAUUUGCUGUCACGAACACUGGAAACGGAUGGACUGGCUGUUAGGUUAGUUUAAUUUUGAGGUGUUAGUCUAGGGCUCUAGGCUGUGGUUAAAGUAAAUGCACCCGUGCGCGUGCCGCGUGCGUACCUUGUGCGUCGCGGAAGAACAAGUAGUCCCGCACCCCGUCGAGCGAGCCCCCGCCGGCGCACAGCACGACGACGGCCACGGCCACGGCCGCUGCAACGCAGACGGCCGGCAGCAGGGCCUUCCUCCUUGACGACGGCGGCCGCCACCUCCUCCUUACGGCCUCCGGCUGCAGCUCGGGCGGCGACGCAGGGAACGAGCACUGGCGCUUGUCCGCGCCGCCGCCGCCGCCACCCUUCACGUCCAUGCUUUACUUCCCGCUCUUUGUUUCGCUCUCAUCAACAACUAGUUGGAGGGUACGGGGGCAGGCGAUGUAGCCUGUACUUAGAAACGAAGGGAGCGGAGCUUGGAAGCAUGCAUAUUUGUAUAUAUGGAAGAGAAGAAGGAGCGGCGAAGCUGCCUCGGUUGGGAACUCAUACACGUCCGGGCCCGGCGAGCGAGAAGAUAAGUGCGGGCUAGAAUUUCUGUGGUGCGGGCUCUGGACGCCGCGCGAGACUUUGACCAUCACGCGUCCACGGACAAUUUCUGUUGUGCUGCGGUUCGCCUUAUUCCGGUGGACAUGAAGAUUCCUGGCCUGGUAUAUGCGUCAAGUACUCAAGAGAUUCGAGUCCAAGUCCAUGCAUGCAUAUACACGGCAGCACGGGCCUCGGCUACGGAAUUCCAGCAAAAGCGAGAGUGAUCAAGUUUUCCUCACAGUUUUUGACAUGGACCAUAAGUUUUUAGAAGUUAUCAUUAAUGAUAAAUUUAACAUUAACUAUAUUUUUUAAAAAUGUUGGAUUGGCUAGAUGGACGGUAUUAAAUUUAUCAUAAAAUACUUUACGAUAAAGUAAUUUUAUAGUUUCAUUGCUUUCUCAUGUUAAAGGUAGCACUAGUAUAAAACUGACCUUUCAUCCAGGGUUUUUCUUUUGUCCCGGUUGAUUUUUGGACCCGGGACUAGUCCCAGGUCAAAAAUGAGCUACCGAAAGCCACCGACAGGGGAGCUUUAGUCCUAAUUGUAAAAAAACUACUGGGACUAAAACCUCCCAUUUAGUUCCAGUUGUAAACGCCCCGCUCCUCCGGCCCCUUAUCCUCUCCUAGUGCAGCCACCUCUCCCUUAAUUUCUCCUUGCCUAGACGUUUCUCUUCUUCCUAUCUUCUCUCCUCCUCCUCCUCCUCUCCUGGAGAGAAGUGGCAGGCGAGUAGCGGGCGCGCAGCGGGUGAGCGGCGGUGGGCCGGCACGGGCAGGCGAGCGGUGGGCGGGCGGGCGGCGGGCGAACGCGGGUAAGUGGUGGGCUGGCGUGGGCGGGCGAGCGGUGGGCCGGCACGGGCGGGUGGGCGGACAAGCAGCGGCGGGCGAGCUGUGGGCCAGCACAAGCGGACGAGCGGCGGGCAGACGCCCGCGCCGGCCUCUUUUUUAAUUUUUUUGAAACUUUUUAGUUCCAUCAACCAACCGGGACUAAAGGGGGUCUUUAGUCCUAGGUGAAUGACUCAGGACUAAAGAACCUCCCUUUGUCUCGAAAACUUAAUCCCGGUUGGAUUUUCAGGAUCUUUGGUUUUAUCCAACCGGGACUAAAGGCGCAUUUUCCACCAAUGUAGCGCCCACUGUAGAGACUAAGUUCAUGUCAAAAACUCCAUACUUUAUGAACAUGAGAGUACAGCAUGGCUCGACCAUAGACCUAUAACCUUUGAACGGAUUGAUUGUAGCAAGUUUCUAAACUAAUUUACCAUUAUGGUCUGUGUAUUUCGAGGGUAUGCAUUGUAAGGAAAAUGGCCCUACUAGGCCAUUAUGAUAUUGAUAAUUAAUGAAAACGUAGUCAUUGGGACUAAUAUGUUGCAAGAUGUACCUUUGUAGGUGUUUUAUAGGUCCUAAGAAUGAAUUACAAAAAUCAUCAAAAUGAGAAGAAAAAAAACUUAGAAGAAUUCUAUGUCAUCCAAAUGAUAGCAAAAUCCAGAGAUAGUCUUAUUCUAAGGCUUACAAAUGAUGGUAAUGAAGCUAGAACAAAGACACGUGAAGAAUUGAAGUGAAUCCUGCUAGAAUUGCGCACCGACACAAUUCAUCGACCCUUUCGGUGGUGACCAAUAAGGUCACCGAAUCAACCGAUGAUUAAAAGGACAACAGCAGGGCCAAGGAUGUGUACUGUGUGCACCAACUCAUUCGGUGGGCACAAUGGAUCACCAUCGAAUUAAUCGGUGUGAUCGGCUCGGCUUACGAUCGGCUCUGGAAGUUUUGGAGUAUAAUUGAGGCCCUAUCGAUUCAUACAGUGGGCAUAGUGACCAAGGCAUUGAUUAAGUUGGUGACAGAAGAUGAAGGAAGACAGCAGCUCAGGAGUCACCGAAUCAGUCGGUGAUGCGUGGGGCUCGGGUGUCAGUGGCUCAACGGCUAGUCGGACUUGGACCACUGCACCGAAUCAGUCAGUGACUACGGUUUUGGUGACCAUUGGAGCAAUAGCUAGUUUUUGGUGUUGGCUCUAUAUAUACCUCAUUGCCCGGGCAUUUGAGAUGUGUUAGAGCUUGGAGAAGCUAUAAGCUUGAUUCUCACAUACAAACAAGUGCUCUAGCCACCAAAGUUCUCGAGAGAAGAUUAAAUCAAUUAGCAUAAGACUUAGGUCUUGAUUAGUGCUAGUUUAGGCCUCUUAGCGCAUUGCUUUGGGGUUUAAUCUAGAGUUAUGCGAGGUUUGCACACCUCCUUUGUAUCGGUGCUUGCGCAUACCCAGAGUUGUAAAUUUGGUGCUUGUAAGUCUUGCGAGAUCCUCCAACUGCGUUUCGUGGAGUGGUCGCCGGUGCUUGUCAUAGGGAGAAGCGGCUCUAGGUGUUUUGUCGAAUCUCUACCAAGUGAAGAGUGGCAAGGAGUGUCCGAGAUAGGCUAGGCGGAGACCCACUUGUGCAUGGAGAAAGCCCAUCGGCUAUCCUACGGAGUUACUUGACCAGGGAGCUUAUACCCUUGUGCGGGUGUUGCCUUUGAGAGGAGCUCCAACAAUGAGGAUUAGUGGAAAGUUUUGCUUUUCGAUACCUCAGUAAAAAUUGCCGUAUCACCACAUCGAAGUUUGCCUUCUCUCCCUCAUUUUAUUAGCGAUAGAGAUAUAAUCUCUGAUGUAAAUUCUCAGGUUGUUCAGGACUCAGAUUCGGUUAUAGAUAAGACAGUUUGUUUAGCUUUAUCUCCAAUAUGUAAUCCUACACAACCGAACCGGACUCCUAGCAACCGCCAAUUGCAACCUAUCUGGAGUCUUUGAGAUGCUCCUAUAUAUUAACACACAACCUGUAGUAUGCUAAGAUAGGCAACUACAGUUCUACCAAUUCUUUCACGGUAUCAGAGCAACCUCUUCCUAAAUACAUCUACUGCUCACGCCUGAAACUCCACCAUGGCCGGCACAUCCUCUUCUCUCUCGGCUCAACUUGGGUCGACGAUCUCGGAGAAACUCAUGCGGGACAAUUAUGUCCUGUAGAAGGCGCAAUUCCUCCUGGUUGUUCGUGGUGCUCAACUCGUCGGGAUCCUGGAAGGCACUGUGCUGGCGCCAAGCAAGAUCUUGGAGAUUGUGGUGGAAGGAAAGAAGCAAGAAGUCUCUAACCCUGAGUACGAUUCGUGGAUAAGCAAAGACCAACAACUCCUCAGCUACCUGCUAAAUUCAAUUACCAGGGAAGUACUAGCAGGAGUGGCAACUGCGACGACCUCUGCUGAAGCGUGGAAAACGCUGGAGAUCAUGUUUGCGGCGCAAUCAAGAGCGCGGGUUACUAAUCUGCGCAUGCAACUGGCGACUCUGAAGAAGGGAAAUCUGAGUACGUCGGCUUACUUCAACAAGAUGCAAAAUAUCAAGGAUGAGCUUGCAGCCGCUGGUAAGUCUAUUGGAGAUGAUGAAGUUGUGGCGCAUAUUCUCAAUGGUUUAGAUUUCGAUUAUCAUCCUUUUGUGUCCUCUAUGCUUGGCCAUGGUGAUGCUAUUUCACUUUCGAUCUGUACUCACAACUUAUGGAGUAUGACCUGCGGCUGGAGAUGUUCCAAGAAGUGGGAUAGUUUCAAUCUUCAGCAAAUUCAGCCUCUUGUGGUCGCAGUUUCAACCGUGGAUGUGGAAACAGGGGUGGCAGUGGUGGCCGUGGUGGCCGGUUUGGCCAAGGCCGUGGCGCGCCUGGUCACGGACGUGGAGGAAAACCACAAAUCAGCAGUAACAAUGGUGCCAAUUCAGCCAAGAAAAAGGUGCAGUGUCAGAUCUGCAAGAAAGUUGGACAUUAAGCUCCAAGGUGUUGGUACCGCUAUGAUGAGGAUGAUCAGCAAUACAGCAAGACAGCAGGCGCUGUAGAAACAGGUUAUGGUUCUGAUACAAACUGGUAUGUCGACAGCGGUGCUACAGAUCAUGUGACUAGCAAAUUGGAGAAGCUGACAGUACGUGACAAGUACACCGGGCGUGAUCAAGUUCACACUGCCAGCAGAUCAGGUAUGAAAAUUAGUAAUAUCGGGCAUACAAUUUUUCAUACCCCUCAUAAAAGCUUACAUCUUAAGAAUAUUCUUCAAGUUCCCAGCUCACAUAAAAAUCUCAUUUCCGUCCACAAAUUAGCACGAGAUAAUUAUGCUUUGAAUUUCAUCCAAAUUUCUUUCUUAUCAAGGAUCAGGACACGAUGAAAAUCCUACAUCAAGGUAGAUGCAAAUAUGGUCUCUAUCCCCUAGCAUUGGAUUUAUCUAAAGAAGGUCCAUGAAAACAAGCUUAUGGAGUUAACAAGCCGUCUACUUCUAGAUGGCAUAGUCGGCUAGGCCAUCCAGCUAUUCCUAUUGUCAAAAGAGUGCUUAGUUCAAAUAAUUUGCCAUGUGCUAGUGAUAAGAAUUUAGAGUCUGUUUGCGAUUCUCGUCAAAAGGCUAAGAGACAUCAACUUCCUUAUUCCAUUUCAAAAAAAAAAAAUUCCAGUGCUCCGCUUGAUUUGAUUUAUUCUAACAUUUGGGGACCAGCUCCUGUUUCAAUUGUCCCCAUCUCUACUAUGUCAGCUUUAUCGAUGACUACAGAAAAUUUACCUGGAUCUAUCUCUUGCGCCAAAAUUCUGAUGUUUUUAGAGUCUUUCAAGACUUCCAAAAUCUCGUCGAAAGAAAAUUUAACAAGAAAAUCCUCUGUCUACAAUCUGACUGGGGAGGAGAGUAUGAGAAAUUAAAUUCCUUUUUUCAGCACAUUGGCAUUACCCAUCGAGUAUCCUGUCCACAUGCUCACCAACAGAAUGGUGCGGCAGAACGAAAGCACCGACACAUCAUCGAGGUUGGUCUAGUUACUCCUGUCCGCAUGCUCACCAACAUAAUGGUGCGGCAGAACGAAAGCACUGACACAUCAUCAAGGUUGGUCUAGCUCUCCUUGCGCAUGCUUCUAUGCCAUUAAAAUUUUGGAAUCAAGCUUUUCUCACUGCCACGCAUCUUAUUAAUCUGCUGCCAAGCAAGGUCAUAAAUUAUGAGACGCCUGCAGAGCAUCUUCUUCAAGAGAACCCAAGUUAUGAGAACUUGCGCAUUUUUGGCUGCGCAUGUUGGCCAAAUCUUCGACCAUAUAACACCAGGAAGCUUUCUUUUCGAUCUACCCAAUGUGCUUUCCUUGGUUAUAGUUCCAUGCACAAGGGUUUCAAAUGUCUCGACAUCUCCACCGGCCGGAUCUAUAUCUCACGCGAUGUUAUCUUUGAUGAAGCUGUUUUUAUGUUCGCAAAACUUCAUCCUAAUGCGAGUGCUCAACUCCGCAAGGAAAUUGUUCUUCUUCCUGAUCAUCUUCAUUAUCUGGGGGAUGAAAAUUGUGUUGCUUCUGAUAUUACUAAUGCUGCUAAUAUUCCUGGUACAAGUGGUGAUUUACAGGCAGAUGGAGAUUUGGUAGCAGAAGGGGUUCCUGGCGUUCCUCCCUUUGUUCUACUUCCACCUGCAGAAGAUCACGGCGCGGCACUCCAGGAAGAUUUGGCAGCAGAAGGUGCCGGCGGCACAGCUUCUGCGCCUGCCGCACUCGGCUCGCCCGAUGGCUCGCUCCUCGGCUCGCCUACAGUACGCGACAGCUCGCUCGGCUUGUGCGGCGGCUCACAGGUUGGCUCGCUCCUUGGCUCGCCCGGCUCACGCGGCGGCUCGCAGGUUGGCUCGCUUCUCAGCUCGCCCGACUCGUGCGGCGGCUCGCUCGUCAGCCCGCCUGCAGCGCGCUAGUCCGCCCGUCAGCUCUCCUGCAGCGUGCGCCAGCCCGUGUGACAGCCUGCCGCAUGGGGGCCCUCCGUUUUAGCUCUGUCCCGCACGCUAGGGCCUCCCACGCAAAAUCCCUCCGCUGGAUCCUCUACGGCAGAUGCGCCAGCACCAGGAUCUGGUUCUCCUGCUCUGUCUCUAGUACAACGACGACAAACAAGGUUGCAAAGUGGUAUUGUCAAGCCGAAGAAAAUGUAUGAUGGUAUGAUUCGUUAUGGUUUCUUUUCCUCUACUGGUGAACCUAAUUCUGUGCAAGAGGCUCUUGGAGAUCCUAAAUGGCAGCAAGCAAUGCAAGAAGAAUAUGAUGCAUUAAUACGCAAUGGGACAUCGCAUCUUGUUCCUGAUGACACGGGCAGAAAUUUAAUUGAUUGCAAAUGGGUUUAUAAAAUCAAGAAAAGAGCUGAUGGCAGCAUAGACAGAUAUAAAGCCAGAUUAGUGGCCAAAGGUUUCAAACAACGGUAUGGGAUUGAUUAUGAGGACACUUUCAGUCCUGUUGUUAAAAUUGCUACAGUCAGGCUGGUAUUAUCUAUUGCAGUCUCUCGAGGAUGGUAUCUUUGACAGUUAGAUGUACAGAACGCGUUCUUGCAUGGUGUUCUGGAAGAGGAAGUUUAUAUGAAGCAGCCACCAGGUUUUGAAGAUCAGAGUAAAUCAGACUUUGUUUGCAAGUUGGACAAAGCUAUUUAUGGUCUGAAGCAGGCACCUAGAGCCUGGUACUCGAGAUUGAGCUCAAAGUUGAUUAGUCUUGGUUUUGUUGCCUCUAAGUUAGAAGUUAGAUAUGUUGCUGUUUAUUUAUAGAAAAGGGAAUGUGACAAUUUACAUGCUCAUCUAUGUUGACGAUAUCAUUGUUACAAGUUCAUCAUCAGAAGCUGUUGCGGCAUUACUAGAAGACUUAAGGAAAGACUUUGCAUUAAAAGAUCUUAGUGAGCUGCAUUAUUUCUUGGGUAUUGAGGUCAAGAAAGGAAAGGAUUGCAUACUUCUCUCUCAAAGCAAAUAUACAAGUGACAUCCUGGAGCGAGUUGGCAUGACCAAGUGCAAGCCGUCUACUACUCCAUUGUCGUCGUCGGAAAAACUUUCAAGUCAUGAAGGUGAACUGUUAAGUGCUGAAGAUAGUACUCGAUAUAGAAGUGUGGUUGGAGCUCUCCAAUAUUUAAUAUUGACACGACCGGAUUUGUCAUAUUCUUCGCCCACCACACUGCAUUGGACUGCAGUUAAGUGCAUAUUGAGGUACAUACAGUACACUAUAAAUUUGAGCUUGAAAAUUUAGAAGUGUUCGUCUACUCUUGUCAGUGGAUUUUUAGAUGCCGAUUGGGCUGGAAGCAUUGAUGACAGGAGGUCUAAAGGAGGGUUUGCGAUAUUUUUCGGUUCCAAUCUUGUGUCCUGGAGUGACAGAAAGCAAGCUACAGUUUUCAGGUCAAGCAUGAAGCUGAAUAUAAAUCCAUGGCAAAUGCAACAGUGGAGAUAAUUUGGCUAGAAUGCCGAACUUGGAAUAAGAAUUAAAGAUACUUUUGUGUUGUGGUGUGAUAAUUUGGGAGCAACAUAUAUGUCUGCUAAUUCGGUGUUUCAUGCUAGAGCAAAGCAUAUAGAGAUUGACUUUCGCUUUGUUCGAGAACGAGUUAUGAAUAAUCAGCGGUUCAUUCCUUCAGGUGAUCAUGUCUUUGCGCCAGAUGAAUAAUUUUGUGCACAAUCUAAAUCUUCAGUCAACAGAAGCUUCAGAUUGAGAGAGGGUAUUAGCAAUAGAGAUAUAAUCUCUGAUGUAAAUUCUCAGGUUGUUCAGGACUCAAGUUCGGUUAUAGCUAAGAUAAGCAACUACAAUUCUACCAAUUCUUUCACAUUUACCUUCCGGAUUUCCUAUUGCACUUACAUUUCGCGUUUACCUAUCCUAGAAUUACCAUGUAUAAUUUAUAGGAUUGGAACCUAGAGUGCAAAACUUUUUCGCGGUAGAGAUAGCACCCCCACGAUAGCCGCCUUCAUCUCCUCCUUAUUACGGCCUCCGGCUGCGGCUCGGGUGGCGCUGCCCACCACAAACAGUGGCGCUUGUCUGCGCCACCGCCGGUAGUGCCGUCGCUGCCGCCCUUCACGUCCAUGAUGCUUUAAUUCUCGCUCUUUCUUUGUUUCGCUCUCAACAAGUAACAGUACUGUUAGGGUACGGUGCCACGUCGCCUAAAUUUAGAAACGAGUGAAGGGGGAGGAGCAAGCACAUGGAAGCCUGCAUGUGUGGAAGAAGGAGCGGCGAAGCUGCCGCGGUUUUGAACUAAUAAAAGGCUGGGACUCGUGCAAGGUCGGCAAGCUAGGCGAGGUGUUCGUCAGAGUCUAAGAUAAAUCUGGACGACAACUGCGCGGGACUUGGCAUCGAUUCAACUCAACGGACAAUUCCUGUUAUAUUUCGAGUCGCCGGAAUUCCGUAGACAUGAAGAUUAAUUCCUGGUAUCGCUGCAUAUGCACGGGACAGGGGCGGCGGAUUGAUCUGCGUCGUCAGCUUUGGAGAUCAGACCGACGUACGGCCGGCGAACGGCGACGUAGGAGCAUUGCGUUUCGCCUGCCGCGCGACCGGAUAGGCACAAUACAAUGGCAAGGAAGGAAACCACGUGAGAGACUGUGUGUCUGUCCCCUGGAGGCUAUAGCCCAUGUGUCCAGGAUACGUAUCGGAUGCUGGGCCAAACAACAUGUUUCCCGGCCGCCUUAUUUGACGUUGUCAAGCGGCGCACGGUUGCAUGCAUAUGCAUGACCACAAAACUGUACUACGUAGAGAGCCAAGUGUCCCCCUCAAGCCAUGUCAUGGCUUAGCUUGACAAUACCCACCGCCCACGGACUGGCUAGCUAGUUUUCCUUUCUUUUCUUUUUUUUUUGUCAUCCUACAGAACUUAAACAAAAGCUAAGACCUUUUGAAAUUAUUUCAAAACUGUGAUGAUGAAGAAUUGAAGGUGCGAUAAAAUGAGAUGGCAUAUAUCGAUCUCGUUCAAGAUUCACUUCACUAAGCACAUGAAUGCUAAACUCUCUUUUACGGUUGUUAUCCUAAGCUGUCAGUUGCAAACCCAUAUCUUUUUAUGUUAAACAGGAGGGGUUUUGAAACAUGGGCGCACGCCUGCUUAAGUCUUAGUGCAUAAUUUCAUUACAGUGUUAGGUCAAUCUCAGUGCACAGUUUCAUUGCACUGUUAUCAAGAUUGGAAACUAGAUAACUGUACCUCUUGAGUGUUAUUGGGAUGAAACUCCUCUCCUAUAUGGUGAAACUCCCCAUUCUCUCUUCAUAAAAUCUUUGCUAAGUCAGUAAAAAUUAUUAAUGAUGAAAUUUAAUGCUCAUGAAACUCUUACUAAGACCGGCAUAAGGCAUUGUCAAUGUCAACGGCUGCCAGCAGCACCCAAUGCAACUUGUUUUUAUAAGGAACAAAACCCCACGGCACACUGCACUAGCCAAGCAUAGCCACAAUCUAUGGGCAUGUUUGGAUCCUCGGGCUAGAGUUUAGUUCUUCUCGAAUGUUCGGAUGCUAGUUAGAAGGACUAAACAUAAGCUAAUUAUAAAAAUAAUUGCAAAAAUCCUGGGCUAAUUCGCGAUACGAAUCUAUUGAGCCUAAUUAAUCCAUCAUUAGCAAAUAGUUAUUGUAGCACCACAUUGUCAAAUUAUAGACUAAUUAGAUCUAAUAGAUUCGUCUCGUGAAUUAGCCUCUAUCUAUGUAAUUAGUUUUGUAAUUAGCUUAUAUUUAAUAAUUCAAAUAUUAUGACUACAAUUUAUCCCAGCAGGGCUGACUGAAGGAGCUCGCGAUCACAUAAGCGUGUGCCGUGGGCUGUAGAAACUACUGCGUGUAAAGAUUUUUUUUUUUGGCACGACUUGACCACUAGUGGUUGACCAGCUUUGCCGUCAAGCAUUGGAAGUCAUACGUUGCCCGCGGAUUGGACACAUGAUCGAAUCCCCAAUGAGCCCCACGAGGCCAUAACCACGUUAUUCCGGCUCAAACUGAGCUGUACCUCACCCAUCAAAUUGUUAUAUGAUUCCUAUACAUUUAGUGAUGGAUCUAAAAAAAUAUUAGAAGGGGCUCUUCCCUUAUCUUCUACCUCUAGUCUCUCAUUUCAAGCUUCAAUGGAUGUAAAUUUGUAGGGGAGGGUUAGGAGGAGCUCCAUAGUUCUAAGUAACGGUAGGGAGGAGCUCGAGCCCCGUCCACCCUGGUGCUAGAUCCACCCCUGUGUACAUUGUUACUUAGCUAUAGCAUUGUGCCCUCAUGAUGCAUGGUCAUCGUUUCACAUUUUCACUACCAAUUGGAAUAUGAACAUAACCCCGGAAAUAUUGUCCUUUAUUUGAAAGAGAACAUCUCCUCUAGAAGAUCCAGCAAACGGAGGUGCCAAUGCUGUAAGAAACAUGAAGUUACGCUGCUUAACUAAUGGAAUUUUGUGUACAAGUAUUCAGAUGCACAAAUAGACAAUAUGAUACCUGGAGUUAAGUUUCAGAAUUUUGCAUCCGAAUAAGUGGCACUUAUCAUAUUUCUAUCUAUAUAGGUAUAGUUUUGCAAACUUUUGUUCCAGACAAUUAUUUCUGUUAAAACAGAAAUUAUUAAAUAUAAAAAUGAAAAACAAUUCUCAAAAUUUCCAAAAGGCCCACUCCUCUCCAUUCCUCAGCCCACCUAACCCACAGCCCAACUCGGUCCUCCACUUGCGAUCACAUUGGCACCACCGGCGGCACCACCCUACUACCUCUGUCCCAGUGUCCACUCUGCAAGGAGCAAUUGGUUUUUCACUUUUUCCUUCUUCUUUUUUUCUGUUUGCUAAAUACGCCUUUUAACGGCUCGGAUUGCCAUAAUGAUGAGGACAUCCCUCCAUCUGACACAAUCCCUGUUGCAAAUCCUAUCGGAAUAUCGGGCCUAAAUACCCCAUUACAUAAGAUUUGCACUCUCGUAUAUUUUGAUUAGCGCCAGACAGUUUGAUUUGCUCUGUUUCAGACAGAUCAUAGGAGAUUAGGAGACGACAUGAAGGCACAGCGAAAUGGUCCGAACUCUGUGUGCAGGAGCGAUUAUUACAAGUUUGUGCACAUGCAUAUAACAUCUGGCACGAUAAUAGCAGACAUAUACAGUACAAUAUAAUUCUUCCUUUUUAACGAACCGCACGUUGCAUUGCAUCUGAUCAUACGCUCGGUGAUGUCUCCUUGGUGCUGAGCAUAAUCAAACGUAACGACUCCAGGCUUCCACAGUUGGUGCUUCCACUCCAAUGUUCUUCAUGUCUCUGAUGUUUGCUGGGCAAAAUAAAGCACGUAGAUGACACCAGUAAUCUCAAAGAAACAGAUUAAACAGAGUGAAUUGACAUAUUAAAAGGUUCAGUUUUUGUCAUCUAACAAACAUUGGAGCUAUAUUUUAUUAUGAGGUAAUACUGGUACUACAAUAAAGUGGAUGAGUAAGUUAUGGGGGAGUUCUCACACAAAUGGAUUUCUUGAUUAGCACCAGCCGUUGCAUCAACAAUAACCGUAACUUUCUCAUAGUCCAGUGCGACGGCAUCAAAGACAGUCUGCCGGACACAAUUUGGUGUCUGAACCCCUGAAAGUUCAACACAUAUACACACAAAAAAAUAUAUUUUUAUAUGAGAGGAAAAUGGUAGAACAAGAAAAUAAAAUUAUUGAUCCAGUAUAGUAGUAUACGUGCUUACCAACAACAACCAGGUUCUUGAUCCCUGAGGUUUUAAGGACCGAAUCCAGGUUCGUCGCGAAGAAAGAGCUGAACCUUGUUUUCACCACCUUAUAGUCCUCUUCUUUGACGACAAGCCCAUCGGCCAUCUCUGCGCCUUUGGAACCUUU